UUAAAACACAAACAACUAGUUCAUUGAAAUGAUAACUUGUUUAGUACACAAACAAGAUCUUACUUAAUACAUAGAAAUAAGAUCUUACGGAACAUAGAGAUUAAAAACAUAGGAACAACAUGAAAAGUUUUUAAAAUGACAUAGAUAUUGAUUAACAAAGAUAUGAACUAGUUUCGGGUAUUUUUUAACCAUCCAUCAAGGUAAACUUGUUUGGAGUCAGGGGUGGAUUUUGGUCUAAUAUCUUUCAACCAUCCAUCAAGGUAAACUUGGUUGGAAUCAGAGGAGGAUUUUGCUUUUUCAGCUCGAGUGUCUUUCAACCAACCAUCAAGAUAAACUUGUUUGGGAUCAGAGGUGGAUUUUGUUUUCUCUGCUCGAGUAUCUUUCAACCACCCAUCAAGGUAUACUUGGUUGGAGUCAGGGGUAGAUUUUGUUCUCUCGUUUCGAAUAUCUUUCAACCAUCCAUCAAGGUAAACUUGGUUGGAAUCAGAGGAGGAUUUUUCUUUUUCAGCUCGAGUGUCUUUCAACCAACCAUCAAGAUAAACUUGUUUGGGAUCAGAGGUGGAUUUUGUUUUCUCUACUCGGGUAUCUUUCAACCACCCAUCAAGGUAUACUUGGUUGGAGUUAGGGGUAGAUUUUGUUCUCUCGUUUCGAAUAUCUUUCAACCAUCCAUCAAGGUAAACUUGGUUGGAGUCAGAGGAGGAUUUUUCUUUUUCAGCUCGAGUGUCUUUCAACCAACCAUCAAGAUAAACUUGUUUGGGAUCAGAGGUGGAUUUUGUUUUCUCUACUCGGGUAUCUUUCAACCACCCAUCAAGGUAUACUUGGUUGGAGUCAGGGGUAGAUUUUGUUCUCUCGUUUCGAAUAUCUUUCAACCAUCCAUCAAGGUAAACUUGGUUGGAGUCAGAGGAGGAUUUUUCUUUUUCAGCUCGAGUGUCUUUCAACCAACCAUCAAGAUAAACUUGUUUGGGAUCAGAGGUGGAUUUUGUUUUCUCUACUCGGGUAUCUUUCAACCACCCAUCAAGGUAUACUUGGUUGGAGUCAGGGGUAGAUUUUGUUCUCUCGUUUCGAAUAUCUUUCAACCAUCCAUCAAGGUAAACUUGGUUGGAGUCAGACAUGGUUUUUGUUUGCUUUGCUCGAGUAUUUUUCAACCAUCCAUCAAGGUAAACUUGGUUGGAGUCAGAUGUAGAUUUUUCUUUCUCAGCUCGGGGAUCUUUUAACCAUCCAUCAAGAUAAACUUGUUUGGAGUCAGAGGUGGAUUUUGUUUUCUCUGCUCGGGUAUCUUUCAACCAUCCAUCAAGGUAAACUUGAUUGGAGUUAGGCAUGGACUUUUCUUUCUCGACUCUGAUAUUUUUCAACCAUCCAUCAAGAUAAACUUGGUUUGAGUCACUUGCAGGUUUUGUUUUCUCAACUCGGGUAUUUUUCAACCAUCCAUCAAGGUAAACUUGGUUGGAUUCAGAGGUGGAUUUUGCGUUCUCUGCUCUGGUAUCUUUCAACCAUCCAUCAAGGUAAACUUGGUUGGAGUUAGGUGUUGACUUUUCUUUCUCAGCUCUGAUAUCUUUCAACCAUCCAUCAAGAUAAACUUGGUUGGUGUCACCGGUAGAUUUUGCUUUCUCAGCUCGAUUAUCUUUCAACCAUCCAUCAAGGUAAACUUGGUUGGAUUCAGAGGUGUCUUUUGCUUUCUUUGCUCUGGAAUCUUUUAACCAUCCAUCAAGAUAAACUUGAUCAGAGUUCUGGGAGGAUUUGGUUUUCUCUGCUCGUGUAUCUUUCAACCAUCCAUCAAGAUAAACUUGGUUAGAGUUAGCAAUGUGUUUUUGACUCUUCAAUGGAUUUUUGAGCCAACCAUCAAGGUAAGGUUGAUCAACUUGUAUUUCUUGUACAUUCUCUUGCUGAAGUUUGAUAUAUCGGGCAAAGCUUCCUUGUCCAUUCUAUAAUACAAUUGAAUAAAUGGAUAUUAGUGAGUUAUUUUUGGAUGGUAUAUAUGAUUACAAAAACAAAAUAAUGUGUUUUAUAAGACACAUUAUGUUGCACAGGUGAGACACAUUCAUUAUAUAUUUCAGAUGGAUACAAAAUGUGAAAUAAAAAUGAAAGAAAAACAAUUUUUAAAAUUUCAUUGCGGCAUAGAAAACAUUAUUUUAUCAAAUCAAAUAGAACAACUUGAUUGUAAGUGAAUGAUGAAAUCAAAUCAAAUAAAGAUGAGAAAUGAUAGAUUGUGAUAAAUAAAUGAUGAAAAAUAUAAGUGUAAAAGAUACAAGAAUGGAUGCAAAGUUAGUAACUUACGAUCAACAAGAGCAUGAUAAAAGGGAGGAGAAACAAAACAUCUUUGUGUGUCAUUUCUUUAAUGUUAUGAUUUUGUGGGAAAAUUGUUUUAAUGUGAAAAGAUGUAUUGAAAUGGAAGUGAAUUGGGCUAUUUAUAAGUGAAUGAAAAGAAAAACUACAUUAAGGAUAUUAAGGACAUUGCGACUUUGGUUGGCAAGAUUAUUUUUUAAAUAUUUAAUUUAUUUUAUUUUUUAAAUGUUUAGUUUAAUUUAUAAGUUUAUAUGUCUAAGAAAGAUCAAUUUACUUUUUCCAAGAUCUAUUAGGUGUGUUGUUUUGAGUUAUAAAUAAAAAAUUCAAAAAAUUGUUUGUUUGGUAUCAUUUUUUUAAUUAGAAGCUCCUAACUAAAUUCUCCAGGUUUAAAAUAAAUAAAUUUUAGAAAAGCUACUGCAAUUAGUUUUUUAUUUUAAAAUUAAAAAUGAUUCUCUUAAAAACUUUAAUAAAAACCUAUUAAAAUGAUAAAGGUGAUUUUUUAAAUGUUAAACAAACAUUUAUUUUGAUAAGUUAUUUCAAAUAAUUUAAAAUUUCAUAAAUUUAUUUUAAUUUAUAAUUGAAGUGGUAAUUAUCAUAAUCUCGUCUCUUGAGUUCUAAUAUUUGAGCUAAUAGUAUAAAUAUUUUUUAGUUGAAUUAAAAUUUGCAUUAAUGAUAGUUUCAAUUUUACAAUUAAUUAAACUAAUUUAGUAGUUAAUUUUAUUAAGUGUAAUAAAUGCAAUGAAUUAAUUUAACUACAUCCCCUUUAAUUCGAGGUGGGUGUAGGUAUUCCGAGACAUUCAAAUUUGAAGACUAAUAUAUAGAUUAAAAUUAUUUAUUAAUUUAUUUAAUGGUAAUUACAUAUUACAAAAUUUCAUUUUUGGAAAAAAGUUAUUAUUUUAAUAUUUUAUAUUUUUUAAUAGUUAUUAUUUUAUAAAAUUAAUUAUAAUGAGUAUAAUAUUUUAAUUUUAUUAUCAUCAAAUAUACACGACAUCAAAAUUACCAAACAUGAAAUCUAAAUAUAGGGAUCCAAUUAAUUGAAUUGGAAUUUACAUUGUGAAUCAUGAGUCUUCUGCCACCAAUUCCUAGGGACUCACUACCUAGCAAACAAUGAAUACAAAAUAGUAUCACAAGAAACACUAAAAUACUGUGUUGACCCUUGCAUGUUUAAGAUGUUCACAUGUAGCUAGGGUUUGGGUGGUUAUGUAGUUAUGCUUACCUAAUAGUAAGACUGUGUUGACCUUUGCAUGUUUAAGAUGUUCACAUGUAGCUAGGGUUUGCGUGGUUAUGUAGUUAUGCUUAUCUAAUAGUAAGUUAAAAAAUUGUAGUUAUCUAAAAAGUAAUAAAUUAUUAUAUUGACCGGUCUAAAGAGAAGAUAGAUAAGUUANGUAGUUAAUUUUAUUAAGUGUAAUAAAUGCAAUGAAUUAAUUUAACUACAUCCCCUUUAAUUCGAGGUGGGUGUAGGUAUUCAGAGACAUUCAAAUUUGAAGACUAAUAUAUAGAUUAAAAUUAUUUAUGUUCGUCUUAUAUAUUUUUUUUUUAUAUUUUAAUAUAAAUAUUUAUUAAUUUAUUUAAUGGUAAUUAUAUAUUACAAAAUUUCAUUUUUGGAAAAAAGUUAUUAUUUUAAUAUUUUAUAUUUUUUAAUAAUUAUUAUUUUAUAAAAUUAAUUAUAAUGAGUAUAAUAUUUUAAUUUUAUUAUCAUCAAAUAUACACGACAUCAAAAUUACCAAACAUGAAAUCUAAAUAUAGGGAUCCAAUUAAUUGAAUUGGAAUUUACAUUGUGAAUCAUGAGUCUUCUGCCACCAAUUCCUAGGGACUCACUACCUAGCAAACAAUGAAUACAAAAUAGUAUCACAAGAAACACUAAAAUACUGUGUUGACCCUUGCAUGUUUAAGAUGUUCACAUGUAGCUAGGGUUUGGGUGGUUAUGUAGUUAUGCUUACCUAAUAGUAAGACUGUGUUGACCUUUGCAUGUUUAAGAUGUUCACAUGUAGCUAGGGUUUGCGUGGUUAUGUAGUUAUGCUUAUCUAAUAGUAAGUUAAAAAAUUGUAGUUAUCUAAAAAGUAAUAAAUUAUUAUAUUGACCGGUCUAAAGAGAAGAUAGAUAAGUUAUUAUAAUCAAAUAUUAUCUAAAAAACAAUAAAUUAUAAGGAAUAUAGUUUCAUUAUUUUUAUGUUUAUUUAAAAAAUAUAAAUAUUUUUUAAAUUAAUGAUAAAUAAUUGAUUUUAAAUGUGAUGAUGGUUUAUAUCUUUACAUAAGAAACUAAAUGAUAAAAUGUGAAUAUUCAUAUCUAACAUUAAAUAUUUAUCUAAAUAUGUAGGCCAGCCUCAUAUUUAUUGUAAAUUUUUUAACAAAGCUUUUAAUAAUGUAAAUUAGAAUAAUGUAGGCCAGCCUCUCUAUUUAUAUAAAAAAAAUAUUUUUUAAAAUAUUUUUAUAAUAAAAAUAUAAAAUUUGUCACAAAACAAUUUUAUUAUUUUAUUAACUAUAAAAAUAUAGGUUAUAAAUCACAUAUUUCAUUUAUAAUUCAUUAACCAGUAAAAUACGUAAUAUUAAUCAAAUUAUAAUAUUAAAAUAUGAAAUACACAAUUUGCUUAAUUAUUAAUUAUUAUAUUUUAUAUUUUAAUGUCAAAAUUUAUUGAUAUUAUUUAUUUUAUUAAUUGAAUACAGUAAUAAAUAAAAUAUAUGGUUAAUCACCUAUAUUUUUGUGAUUAAUAUAAUAAUAAAAUUAAUUAAUAACAAACUUUAUAUUUAUAUUAUAAAAAUAAUUAUAAAAAUAAAUCAAAAACGAGUUUAAGACAACAUAGGAAAAAGGGAGACUCGGAUAUCGUAUCUCAAAGACGGUUGAAUUAUUAUUAAUAUACUGGAAUCGAAUUGGGGGUUUAUAUUUGAUUCAUAAUAAAUGAUUAUGAAAAGUGAUUAUAAAAUAAGUUGAUUUAUUGAUUCGGUUCCUACCUACCAUUGAUUAUUAUAGCGCGAAUGAAAGUGUAAGAAUUAUGUUUCUUAUUUGCUGAAUUAAGCAAUCAGUUAAGAUUAAAGCGAAUUAACGGAUUAAGCAUACGUUAACACGCAAUCAAAAUUAGGGAACAAUAAAUAUUCAAAUCAAACAAAAUUACUAAGUUUGAAAUUGUACCUCAUUCAGGUCUUGGUUCAAGCAUCCCUAUGUGCAUCACAUUUAACUUUGCAUAGGCCAUGAACUCAAGUCUUUUGGUAUGGAAAAAUGCAUAGAUCCAUAUGCCCGAUUCACUUCAUUCAUAUGAUGCAGAUGAUCAAGGAUGAUUGAUCCAUUUAAGACUUAGUUCCAUUGGUUCAUUCUUUGUUGCUUAAGAAAUCUCAGGGUUUUACUAAGAAGAAAGAGGUCGAGACCAGUGUCGUGAUAGUAAAUAUCUACCCUCAAGUUCAAGCACCUAUGACUCAUGUGUCAUACUACCCUUAUCUGUACAUUGUCGCUGCUCAAUAUCAGCAACCUGCAUACCAACCGCAAUAUCAACAGCCUCCAUGGGCUCCAAUUUCUCAGAAUCAACAAAAUAGCAGAAACCAGAGUCUAGGUCAGGGCAGACGUUAUGAUAGAAAACGUCCUCAGCCUGACCAUAUCCCUGUAUCAUACACUCAGUUGUUGUCGUAUCUUGUCCAGUAAGGAGCAAUUGCGCCAAAAGAGAUUCCGCCUGCAACUCCUCCCUAAAAUCACAAGCAUAAUCCUAAUGUGUCUUGUGCAUUUCAUGUCGGAUACAUAGGGCAUUCUACAGAGGAUUGUUUGGUCCUCAAGACCAUAGUACAAGAGUUAAUUGAUCAUAAGGUUUUGUAAUUCUCUGAGGCAGGACCCAAUGUCAUAACCAACCUAUUGCCAGACCACUGUGGACAGAUAGUGAAUGCAGUUUAUGGCGAAGAUUCCUCAGAUUCAGUUGAUUCUUCAGAGAAGUACUGAUGCUAGCAAUAUCAUAUUGAUUCAAUCAUGUAUCAUUUGUAAUCUUUUCUUGUUUGUUAAUUGUUGUUCAUUUGUAAAACUUGUCUGGUUUUUCAGAUGAUAAUAAUAAUGAAAUAAGCGUGCAUGUUUUGCUUAAAUCCAUUCGUGUUCACUCAUAUUUUAUUUUAUCAGUAUCAAAUUGUUUGUCGAACAAAAUCAAAAGAGAAUGAUGAAAUUAAAAAUAUGCAAGAUCGCUGUUUGUAUGCUUUUGAAUAAGAUCAUGUUGAUGAUGCAAGGCAUUGUUCAAUCCCUAAACACCGGAGAUAUAAGGAAGAUAAUCCCUAGUCAACCCAUUUGGAUGUUGUAGUAGGAGUUUCUUUCUUUAACACAUAAAAUCCUCAUGCUUAACUAGGGGCAGGGUAUUCUUCAUUUAGUUUAGACUUGCAUUCAAAUUUCAGAAGGAGAAUAUCUCAUCCAGUGAUCAAUCAUAUCAUAUCCCUCUCAAGAGGAUGGAAUCACAAAUCCAGGAUGGUUAUCCCUUACCAUUCAAAAGGAGUGAGAUAGUCACGACCCAUGCAACAAAUCAAGAAAGUCGUGUCACACGGUUUUCUCUAGUACAAAAAGAAAAGAUGAAAAAAUUAAAAGUCCGCUAAGUCAAAAACUUGAAAACAAGAUUGACUUAUAUGUGUGUGUUUGGGGUGAGUCUGGAGAUGCACCUUCGAACUUCGAAAUGUGUGAGCUUUUUUGUAUUUUUCAUCUCAUGCCCUAGUAAUAUAUAUGGUGCAUUAAAAAAUAUCCAUAAAUUAAGGGAUUUGGUUAACACACUCUUAGGAUUGUUUUUCGACCCUUGUGAAAAAUCAAAACUACCUUUAGAAUUCAGAAAUAAAUCUUUGGACGCACCUCAAACACACACACAAUCAAUUCAUUUUUGAGUCAUGAAGUUAAUUAGGAAAUGCAUCUCCUUAAAUAUUAACGGGGGUGUAUUUUCCAAACCUAUUGAACCACACAGAAUUGCAUAAACCAAACAGAUGCAGAAAUAAAGAUAAAUCACAUUGAUAACAUGAAAAAUGAAAUAUUACAUAGAUAAUCGUUAACAUAAAUCGAACUUUGCAUUUGAACAUCAAGAUGGACGUUUCAACAUAUUUAUAAUAUCUUUUAUCGAUCUCGCAAUCAUCGCAUCCAACUUGAUCAAACAUUUUAUUUCGUAACGGUUAAAUGUAUUUCACAUAACUCUUAAAUCCGCAUCCGUCUUCAGCUUAAAGUUGUUGAACUGAAUCUACCAUUCAUUAUCAACCGAGAGUGAACCUUACUUGAGUUUCACAAUUCUUCAAUGAACUUAAAUGCAAUUGAGGACUCCGCGUAGUUGAGUCAUAUUUCAUGGAGACUCAUAAUGCGUCCAAAAAUGCAUUUCCAAAAUUUUAGUGGCAUUUUUAAAUUUUUAUAGGAUGGUUUUCCAGCACUUAUGUAGAGAUAAACAAUUUCCUUAUUAAAGGUCUCUGAGAGGAAUUGAAAUAAAUAUAUUUAAAAAAUUAGUAUUAUACUUAUUUAAGGAAUAAAGUUUUCUAACCAAAAAUUUUUCCCUAAUUUUUUUGUGCCUAAUUUUUUUGCUAACAAAAUAGAGACCUGAUUAUAUUUCACUAAUUUUCAUUCAUCUCUCAAUUAAUAUCUCUCAUAACCCUCAUUAACUCUCAAUUAAUGUAAUUCAUAUCAAUUAAUUGUUUUUUGAAAAUUUUGUAUCCGGCUUCGGACCAACUAGUUUAGUGAAUUGCUAAUUUCAUCUUUAAGUGUUGGAAAAAUACCUUAUAAAAAUUUGAAAAUACUCUUCUGAUUCCAAAAAUGCAUCUUCGGACGCAACUUGCACCUCACCAAAACACGCUUCAACUUGUUGAUGUUUUUUAUGUAAUUCAAGUGGUGUAACUGGUUACCUCAUGUGGUGUAAACGGUUACCACUAAAGUUGAUUUAAUUCAAUAUCAGAUGUAACCGAUUAUCCACUUUUGUGUAACGAUUACAAGCUUAAUAUUUUGAUUUUUUCUGAUAUUUUACUUGGUCAAUUCAGUUCCCAAUUGUGUUGUAUCUCUUGUAUAAGUGUUUAGAAUGUACACUCAUCUAAGGUUAAUGCAAUAAUAAUCUCUCAUCCUCAAUUCUCCUCUUUCACACUCCACAUCCAAAGUAUCUCCACCAUUAUUCACCAAACUUGUGGUGUCCUGUUCCAACAUUUGACAUCAAGAGUCUGGUUCAGAUCCACAAACACUUAGUGUGCAACAUGAAUUAUGUUUCCAAUGAAAAAAUCCCUCCAAACCUACCUAUCCUUGAUGCGAAGAAUUAUGAUAAAUGGUACAAGGAAAUGAAGAUGUUGUUUGGCUACCAAGAUGUUCUUACAGUAACUCUUAAGAGAAAAUAGUUGUCCCUGACCUACUUUGAGUCUCCGUAGGGAAAUUGGACUGGCAAAGAGGGUAGAAGGAGGAAACUACUCAAGUGAGCUUGAAGCAACAAAGGCAGUGAGUUUAGUUCCCACGCGGGGAAGAACGUUUAUAACAAGAGCCAGGAAGAUAAAUUAUUUUAUAAUACCUUCUCAAAAGUAAAAUGAGCUAUGAGAAAGAGCAAGAAUCUCAAGCGAUUGGCUGAACUUAACCUAGCUCGAGCUACAUGGCGGUUGAUCAAGGGAUACCGGAAAGAGGCAAACAACAGAACCUCCGGGUUUGAAGCUUUUCAUGUCGGGGCGAGGUCAAUCAAGGGUUUUGGGUCAGUGAAAGCUCGAGUGCCCCCUUCAAAAGUAAGGUGUCGGGAAUGCAACCAGUGAGGUGACCCGUUCCGUUAGGGCGGAUGAAAGAAGUUAUCCUGAAGCAGCGUCAAAGGCCUCUGUAGGCCCUUCAACAGGAUUUUUUGUCGUGUAGCAUUCUGUUUUGGCUACUCACGAAACUCUUUAUCCUUAAUAGGAAGAACUCCCUUUAGAGGAAGGAUACAAAGACCAAGCCUGUCUUUCUCUCUUAAAAAGGGCAUAUGGGGCAGGGCAGAAAGACUAUUUUAGGGGACUAAUCUGCUAAUGAAUGAAGGAAGGAGAAGGCCUUAAUUGUCUAUCCAAAGGUCCGCCUUGGGUGGAUUUAGGCGAAUCAAGUGGGUGGGAAUGAUCCGAGCCCCCUAUGUAAAUUUCAGUAAGGUAACUAAGGUUUACAAUAAUUCAUUUCAGUAGUGCGUUACCUUGCAGCUCUAUCUAUCGGGUAGUCAGUCUCUUGGUCAAAAGCCGGUACCUAAUUCCCCUGCUGGUGGGCCGAUCCUCGUCUAGCGGUGGGAACCGGCUGGUAUGGAUCAAUUGCUUGCCCUGUCUCUCUUCUGUUCAACCAUCGAGAAUCCGCAGUUAUCUUUGCUCAUUGGGUGGGCGAAGGAAUCCUUUCUAUUGAAUAAGGGCUUUGAGAAGCAGGCCAUUCCGUUCCAGUUAGCACCGUAUCCCGCUUUUCCGAUAGCAAAGGGCCUUCUAAUUAGCGUGCUUUGCUUAACCCGGCAAGAUCCGAGAUCAGACCUAGUCCUGCUGACCCGCUACCCUUGAAAACAUACUUUUUGCCACCUUACGACUGGUGUGAAGGAACUUAUUGCACAUAUUUAACAUGGGGAAGGAAAGAGGAGGGAAUAAAGCAUAUUUUAGGCAUCGANUUAAGAAAUGUCCAUGAAUUAAGGGAUUUGGUUAACGCACUCUUAGGGUUGUUUUUCGACCCUCGUGAAAAAUCAAAACUACCUUUAGAAUUCAGAAAUAAAUCUUUGGACGCACCUCAAACACACAUAAUCUGUUCAUUUUGUAGUCAUGAAUUUAAUUCGGAAAUGCAUCUCCUUAAAUAUUUAUGGAGGUGUAUUUUCAGAACCUACUUAACCACAAAGAAUUUCAUAAACCAAACAGAUGCAGAAACAAAGAUAAAUCACAUUGAUAACAUUGAAAAAUGAAAUAUUACAUAGAUAAUCGUUAACAUAAAUCGAACAUUAUAUUUGAACAUUAAGAUGGACGUUUCAACAUCUUUAUAAUAUCUUUUAUCGAUCUCGCAAUCAUCGCAUCCAACUUGAUCAAAUAUUUUGUUUCGUAACGGUUAAAUGUAUUUCAGAUAACUCUUAAAUCUGCAUUCGUCUUCAGCUUAAAAUUGUUGAAAUGAAUCUUCGAUUCAUUAUCAAUCGAGAGUGAACCGUACUUGAGUUUUGUAAGAACAAAAAUAGUUCUACAAUAGAUUCCAUGAUUUUGAUGAUAACAAAGGAUGAAACCAAAAAUGGCACCCUAACGAAAAGUUUCUAAGUGUGCAGGGUUCUAAAGAAAGAAGAAAUAAAUCUGAUGAUGUCAUCAGAUGCAAAACAAGAUCAGAUGUAAAAUCUCAAGUAUCAGAAGCAUCUAAAGAGGAAUCUCAUUCAAGAAGCUCUGACUCUGGACAAAACUACAAAGUAUCAGAAGCAUCUGAACAUGAAGUAAAGUCUAGAAGCUCUGACUCUGAACAAAUGCCUUCUGUAAAUUCUGAAGUUAUCAGCGCCAUCUGAACUUUCAAGAGAUAACAUCAGAAGCCAGUUUCUCCAGAUACACAAAGACUCUAAUCAGAAUUGUUAAUCAUGAUGAAGUAACGUUUAAGCCAAGUUAAAGUUCUGCAAAUGGAUUUCCUCAAUUAGAAAGAGACGUUAAUCUCCACUUCCAAGAGAGAAGAUACUAAUUGUGGUAAGUAGUCACUUCUAAGAGAAAAAGUCUACUGCAGAAGCUAUUAAUGGAAUGGCGUAACUACAUCUCAAUAUCCAACAGAUUCAACGCUACUUCAACUCUACUUCAACUCCUAUAAAUAGAGAAGAAAUCUCAUUCAGUAAGAAAGAAAUCACUAGCCAAAACUAUACUGAAAUUAUAUCACGCUCAAGAAAAACAUCUUUGUUCUUCAAAGAUUUUCACUAAGCUUUUGCUUAUCAAGUGAAAAAUUUGUUCUUAAGUUUGUAAUAUUUGCUUUCUUAGAAGCACUCUAGAUUACACAUCUUGUAUCUAAUUUUUAUUUGAUUUCCUCAAGUGACUCUUUGUAGUCUGUAGACUUGAGAGGACUAAGAGAUUUUCUUCUCUCUUAGGGGUUGUUUGUAAUCUUUCAAGAUUAGUGGAUUAAGUCCUUGUUGAAGGCGAAAUCACCUUGGCCGGGUGGACUGGAGUAGCUUUGUGUUAUAAGCGAACCAGUAUAAAAUCAUUGUGUGAUUUUCUUUUGCAAAAGCGCUUAUUUUUCAAACAAUUCAAACCCCCCCUUUCUUGUUUUUCUCACCUUCAAUUGGUAUCAGAGCUCCGGCUCUGUUAUUGAUUUUCAAAUCAAACACUUAACCGUGUAGAGAGAUCCAGUGCGAGAAAAACAAAUGGCCCACUCAAAUGAGAAAGAUUCUUACAAUGCCAAGCCUCCUGUUUUUGAUGGAGAAAAGUUUGAUUACUGGAAAGAUAGAAUCGAAAGUUUCUUUCUGGGUUAUGAUGCUGACCUCUGGGACAUUGUCACAGAUGGAUACAAACCUCCAACCUUAAAUGGAGCUGAAGUUCCCAGAAGCAAAAUGUCAGAAGAUCAGAAACGUGAGUUCAAAAAUCAUCACAAGGCCAGAACAAUACUUCUAAAUGCUAUAUCAUACAACGAAUACGAAAAGAUCACCAACAGAGAGACGGCUAAAGAUAUACUUGACUCUCUGAAGAUGACCCAUGAAGGAAACUCCCAAGUCAAGGAGACGAAGGCUCUGGCGUUGAUCCAGAAAUAUGAAGCCUUCAAGAUGGAAGAUGACGAAGCUAUAGAAGCUAUGUUUUCCAGAUUCCAAACUCUUAUUGCAGGUCUUAAAGUGCUAGACAAAGGAUACACGACUGCAGAUCAUGUUAAGAAGAUUGUCAGAAGUCUGCCAAAGAAAUGGAGACCUAUGGUUACUGCUCUGAAGUUAUCAAAGGAUCUGAACAGUAUCAGCCUUGAAGAACUUGUUAGUUCUCUCAGAAGCCAUGAGAUAGAACUAGAGGAGGAUGAGCCUCAGAAAAGGAACAAGUCAGUGGCGCUGAAGUCCAGACCUGAAAGACGGAAGUCAGACAGAACCAAAGCUCUCCAGGCAGAAACUGCAGAUACUGACGACUCUGAACCUGAAGACUCUGAUGAUGAAGAAGAACUGUCCUUACUAACCAGAAGAGUUAAGCAACUCUGGAAAAGAAGGAACAACAACAACUUCAGAAGAUCAAGACCCAGAGGGGAUAGAUCAGAGUCAACUUCAAAAGGUAAACCUAAUAAAGAUAUUACCUGUUUUGAAUGUAAAGAAACAGGUCAUUAUAGAAAUGAAUGCCCCAAGCUGAAGAAAGAUAACUCUAAGAAAGAAAGCUUCAAGAAAAAUGCCUUCAGAACAAAGAAGGGAUUAAUGGCCACCUGGGACGAUAGUGAAUCAGGAUCAUCAGAAUCUGACUCUGAUGAACAAGCCAACGUAGCAUUUAUGGCUACCACAUCCAGCAGCUCAGAUGAAGAAUCUGAAGAGGUAUUUUCUGAACUUUCUAGAUCUGACUUAGAAUCAUGUUUAUCAGAAACUCUUACCUCUCUUCAGAAAUUAAAACAAAAAGUUAAAAGCAUUAAAGGCCUUCUUAAAGCAAAAUCUGAAGAAUGUAGUGAACUUGAGACAACAAUUCUAGCACAUGAAGAUACAAUCAAAUCUUUAACGUUAGAAAGAGAUGGAGCUAAAACAAAAAGCUUAAAAUUAGAAGAAGCGUUGUCUCAAGCACCACAAACUUCAAAUGAAAUUAUUUAUAAAUAUGAAGAAGCCUUUCAGAAGUUUCUGAAGAGUGGAAUAGAUAGGAGUAUUAUGGCAUCCAUGAUUUAUGGAGUAAGUCAGAAUAAUAAAAGGGGAAUUGGGUAUGAUUCUGAUUCUGAUAAAACUUCUACCAGUAACCAAAUUAAAUCACCUUUUUCAUACCACUAUACACACACACAAGAACACAAAUUUAAAAAUGCUAGAAGACCCAAAGUUGUAAGAAACUCUGGGAAAACUAAUCUGAAAGGACCCAAGAGAUUCUGGGUACCGAAAGAUAAGAUUAUCUAUGUUGCAGAUAUCCUAUGCAGCAAAGUUCAGACACCAGUCAUGGUACCUGGACUCUGGAUGCUCGCGACAUAUGACGGGAAGAAAGUCUAUGUUCCAAAGCCUGGAACUUAAAGACGCUGGCUUUGUAGGCUUCGGAGGAGAUCAGAAAGGAAGGAUCAGAGGCUCCGGAACUAUUGGUAAUGGUACUCUUCCCUCUAUAUCUGAUGUUCUUUAUGUAGAAGGAUUAAUGCAUAACUUGUUAUCCAUAAGUCAAUUAAGUGAUAACGGUUAUGAUGUAAUCUUUAAUCAAAAAACGUGUAAAGCCAUUAAUCAGAACGAUGGCUCUGUCCUUUUCACAGGCAAGAGGAAAAACAACAUUUAUAAAAUAAAUCUUUCUGAUUUAAAAGAUCAAAAUGUUAAAUGUUUAAUGUCAGUUCACGAAGAGCAAUGGGUAUGGCAUAGACGCUUAGGCCACAUUAGCAUGAGAAAACUUUCUCAGCUAACUAAACUUGAGUUAGUCAGAGGCUUACCUAAACUGAAGUUUUCUUCAGAUGCUCUGUGUGAAGCUUGUCAGAAAGGAAAGUUUUCAAAAACAUCUUUUAAAAAGAAAAAUGUUGUUUCUACCUCCAAGCCUCUGGAGCUUCUUCACAUUGACUUAUUUGGUCCUGUGAAAACAGCAUCAGUCAAUGGAAAGAAGUAUGGACUAGUAAUCGUUGAUGAUUACAGCCGCUGGACAUGGGUAAAAUUCCUAAAGCACAAGAGUGAGUCUCACUCUGUAUUCACCAGUUUCUGUUCUAAAGUGCAAAAAGAAUUUGACUCUAAAAUUGUUAGAGUCAGAAGUGAUCAUGGUGGAGAAUUUGAAAAUAAAGAUUUUGAAGAAUUAUUUGAUUCUAAUGGAAUAUCCCAUGAUUUCUCCUGCCCUAGAACUCCACAACAAAAUGGAGUUGUAGAGAGGAAGAAUAGGACACUCCAAGAAAUGGCCAGAACCAUGAUCAAUGAAACAAAUGUAGCAAAGCACUUUUGGGCAGAAGCUGUAAAUACAGCGUGUUACAUUCAGAAUAGAAUCUCUAUUAGACCUAUUCUGGAUAAGACUCCCUAUGAACUGUGUAAGGGAAGAAAACCCAACAUUUCAUAUUUUCAUCCUUUUGGAUGCAUUUGCUUUAUAUUAAAUACUAAAGAACAUCUGAACAAGUUUGAUUCCAAAGCACAGAAAGGUAUUAUGUUAGGAUACUCAGAACGCUCUAAAGGCUACAGAGUAUACAACACAGAAACCAAAAUUGUGGAGGAAUCAAUUCAUGUUAGAUUUGAUGAUAAGCUUGACCCUGAAAAGUCAAAGCUAGUUGAAAAGUUUGCAGAUUUAGAGAUCACUCUGGUAGAAUCUGAGAAAACUCCAGAAGCAACUGUCACUCCAGACUCUGAAGAAAUUAAAUCUCCAGAAAUUCCAAGGAAAGUCAAGAGUCGUAGCAACGUAUCUGAAGAUUUGAUUUUGGGAAACAAAGAUGAACCUGUUAGAACCAGAUCUACCUUCAGAACUUCUGAAGAUAUUCCUCUGGGACUAGUGUCUCUGAUUGAGCCUACGUCCUGUGAUGAAGCUCUUCAAGAUAACGAUUGGGUGGCAGCUAUGCAAGAAGAGUUAGAUCAAUUCUCCAAGAAUGAUGUCUGGGAUCUCGUUCCUAAACCCAGAGGCACUCAUGUCAUUGGAACCAGAUGGGUUUUCAGAAACAAACUGAACGAGAAAGGAGAAGUUGUCAGAAACAAAGCACGACUGGUAGCUCAAGGUUAUAGUCAACAAGAAGGUAUUGAUUAUAAUGAAACUUUUGCUCCAGUCGCAAGGUUAGAAUCUAUUCGUCUUCUUGUAUCUUUUGCUAUUAAUCACUCUAUCAAAUUAUACCAAAUGGAUGUCAAGAGUGCAUUUCUUAAUGGUUAUAUUUCAGAAGAAGUGUAUGUCAAUCAACCUCCAGGUUUUGAAAAUUCAAACUUUCCAGAACAUGUUUUCAAACUUAAGAAAUCCUUAUAUGGACUUAAACAAGCUCCCAGAGCUUGGUAUGAACGCUUAAGUAAUUUUCUUCUGGAACAAAAUUUUAUCAGAGGGAAAGUUGAUUCUACACUCUUCUGUAAAAAUCAUAAAAAUGAUCUCAUGAUAUGCCAAAUUUAUGUUGAUGACAUUAUUUUUGGUUCUGCUAAUAUCUCUGUUUGCCAAGAAUUUUCUAAGUUAAUGCAGGCAGAAUUUGAAAUGAGUCUAAUGCAAGAACUAAAGUUCUUUCUGGGAAUUCAAAUUAAUCAAACUCCAGAAGUCACGUACAUUCAUCAAAGCAAGUACAUUAAAGACGUUCUGAAGAAGUUUGAUAUGUCUGAAUGCAACUCUGCAAAGACUCCUAUGCACCCAACUUGCAUUCUGGAAAAGGAAGAGGUAAGCAACAAGGUUUGUCAGAAGCUCUAUCGAGGUAUGAUAGGCUCUCUUCUCUAUCUGACUGCUACUCGUCCUGAUAUUCUCUUUAGCGUCUGUCUUUGUGCCAGAUUCCAAUCAGAUCCUAGAGAAUCUCAUUUAACAGCUGUUAAGAGAAUUCUUAAGUAUCUGAAAGGAACUCCUAACCUGGGCCUGAUGUAUGAGAAAACAUCAGAGUAUAGGCUUUCUGGUUAUUGUGAUGCAGAUUAUGCAGGAGAUAGAAUAGAACGAAAAAGCACAUCUGGAAAUUGCCAGCUUCUGGGAAACAAUCUAAUCUCCUGGGCUAGCAAAAGACAGUCAACUAUCGCUCUAUCAACUGCAGAAGCAGAAUAUAUCUCAGCAUCACUGUGCACAACUCAGAUGCUCUGGAUGAAACAUCAGCUAGAAGAUCUUCAAAUCUUUGAGAGUAACAUUCCUAUCCUUUGUGAUAAUACUGCUGCUAUUUGUUUGAGUAAGAAUCCUAUUUUACAUUCCAGAGCCAAACACAUAGAAAUUAAACAUCAUUUUAUUAGAGACUAUGUUCAGAAAGGAAUAGUAACGCUGAAGUUCAUUGAUACAGAACAUCAAUGGGCAGAUAUCUUUACUAAGCCUCUAGCUGAAGAUAGAUUUCUUUUCAUCUUAGAAAAUCUGAACAUUAAAAAUUGUCCUGAGUAAAAUUUGGCUCUGAACAUGUAAAAUGAGACUCUGAUAAAAACAAAUACACUUCUGCCUCUGACUCUGAUACUUCUACCAAGUUAAGAAGAUAUCUGAGUUAGAAAUCUUCAGAAAUCCUUUGGUAUUCCUGAAGAUCAGAUACAUCAACACGUGGGGAACAUGCGUCUAACCCUAGAACUUCUAGACAGCUGUCAAAAGAAAUCAAAGGUCAGAACGCUUGAAAUCUCCUCGAGCAGUGUGCUUACUGUUGGGAUUAGACAUUCAUUAAUUAGCUAUAAUCAUUUUUCCCCCAAACGUGCUAUUUUGGUUUUUGUGCUAACGCUGGUAUGUGUGUCGUUUUGCAUGUGUUUUUACCCUUAGUAUAUAAACACUUUCUCUCACUUUUCACACUUAUCACUCUCACUCACUCUAAAACCCUAAACCCUUCUCUGAAAGUUCUCUGCAAGUUCUUCAUCUUCUUCAAUCUCCAUCAUCUUCAUCAACAUGGACGCUCAACAACAAGAACUCUUCAACCAUUCUCAACAAGUGGAAUCUAGUUCCAAUCCCCAAACCUCAAACACUCAAACACCCACGGUUAUAAGCGUCACCACAACCCCAGUUUACAAAGAACCUCACAUUCUUGACCGUGAACAACACAUUCAUCUUUCAACUCCCUUUGAAGGUUUGGAUGUACUGUGUGAAUCGCUGGUGGAUUUUGAGAAUUUGAGAAGAAAUGGCGUUGAUUUAACUGAAGAUCUUCGCAAGCAAGGUUGGGAAACCUACUUCAACAGAUUGUAUGGUCCAAUCUAUCCUCUUCUGGUGAAAGAAUUCUGGAGAUGUGCAGAUGCUGAUGAUGAGUUCAUUGUUUCUUUUGUUCUGGGAGUGAAGAUCAUCAUCACAGAAGCAUCUAUUGCCUCUUUGCUGAACAUGGAGAGAACUGGAGGUAAAAGGAUUUACAACAUUCCUCCAAGGUCCAAGCGCAUCACAGAAGUCAUUAACCCUACAAUCUUCAAAGCAAAUGUUGAAGGAAACCCAUCUAAGAACAAGGAGCUUCAUCAGAACCUCCGAGUUUGGCUGAAGAUUAUUCUGGGAACAAUCCAUCAUCGUCCAGCCUCCAACUCUUCAGAUUAUAUAAAUGCUGAUCAGAAAUGCAUCCUCUACUGUAUUCAGAAGGGUAUUCCAAUCAACCUCCCUGUUCUCCUCUUCAGAUAUCUGAGGGAUUCAGUCAGAGAAACAAGGAAUAAUAUGAAGCCCAGAUCCUACAUUCCUCUGGGAAGAUUGCUCUCUGACAUCUUCAUUGAGCAUGGGCUGGUAGAUGCUCUGGAGAAGACCAGAUGUAUGGAUGAUCUGGCAAUUGACGUUGGAAAGCCUCUGAAUGCCAAAAAUCUGAGGAGUAUGGGAAUCAUCAAAGACAUCAGAGUCAAGCCCACUAUGAAUGUAACCUGGGAAGCUCUGAAGGAUCAGAGGAAGAUGCCUCAUGGCCUUGAAAGGUUCUUCAAGAAUGAACCCAGAGAUGCCAUUGCUAUCUACCUUCAGGAUCGUCUGGAUGAAGGCAUUGAUAUCUCUGAUUUCCGCCUUGAAGACUGUCUGGACUCUGUAGAAGAUCUGGUCAGAUACAAAAGAGGUCUUUCUGAGAAGAAGAUAGCUGAGGAAGCAAGGAAGGCAAAGAAAGCCAGACUUGGAGAAACCUCUGGCACCAAAGCUUCAGCACCUCUGAAUGUCUCCUCUGGUAAGUCCAUUCCUCCUGUCUCUUCUGAAUCUGUAAUGGCUUCCUCUAACCCUCUCUCCUCUCAACCAAUAUAUACCACCGCUGAAAUACCACCUUCAACCAUCAGAACCUCUCAACCUCCACCUGUUCUAAAAAUUGCUCGUAAUUUCACAACAACCUCUGACCCUAAUCAACUAUAUCACCACAGCUCUUCCUCAUCCUCUGAAUAUGAAUCACCCCCUUACCUUUCCCCUUCUUCUGACCAAGAGUUCUCUGAACAAGAGUCCUCUGACCAAGAACACUCUGACCCAAACUCCCCAACAAUAGCUGAAAUUUAUGCUAAAAAUUUCGCUCCACAACCCUCAAGACAAUCUGAAGUAACCUCUCCCCUCCAAACUUCACUUCCACCACAACAAACAACAACCUUACCCUCUGAAACUCAACCAUCUGAUCCCUUCACCUCUAAUAUCACUCCACCAUUUAUUCCCGCUGUACCUGGACCAGACUCUGACCCUUUAGACCUAAAUCCACUAUAUGCUUCAUCCCCUAGUCUUCAACCAGACGCAGAUUCUGAACUUCAAGCAGAAUCUGAACCUCAACAAACUGAACCUCAACCUCUAAAUCUCAGCCCUCAAAACUCUCCACCUCAUUCACCUGAACCUGAACCUGAACUUACCAUACCUACCCUUGAGGAGGCCAUUAUACAGGUUGCAGAAGCUUCAGUCCAGAAGAUCAAGUCUCUGGCUAAAAACUCUGAAGUUAGUGAUGAUCCUAAAUCUGUUAGGACACACUGGAACAGAGUCAUUAGUUGGAUGACCUCUGAGUCUUAUAGGCUGAAGAGUAUCUCUGAACAAGUCAGAAAUGGCUACAUCAGAGACUCUGAGGAAAGACUCCAAGAGAGACUGGCUAGAGAAGCUGAGGCCAGAAGGUUAGAGGAAGAGAGACUGGCUAGAGAAGCUGAGGCCAAGAGAUUAGAGGAAGAAAGAUUGGCUAGGGAAGCUGAAGAAGAAGCUAAGAGGUUGGAAGAAGAACGCCUGGCAAAGGAAGCAGAACUUCUAAGGAUUCAGGAAGCUGAAGCCAAGGCUAAGGCAGAUGCAGAAGCCCAAGCUGCUGCUGAAGCUGAAGCUCAGCAGGCUCUGAUUCAGGGGGAGUCUUCCUCUGCGAUCCCUCUGAUUCUUAACACUCUGAAGGAGAUCAAGCAAGAUCAGAAAGAGAUCAAGCAAGAUCAGAGUGAGCUCCGGGCAAGGAUGGACAAGCAAGACGCUCUGAAUGAAAACCUCCAGAAUAUGUUUGCUAUGCUACUACAGAGACUUCCUCCUCCUCCAAACCCUUAGGCACUUAGGAUUUCUUUUGUUUGCCUAGUGUUUUUGCUUCUGUCUUUUCUUUUUUUUCUCUGAUAUUUCUGUUGAAUCUGAUGUUUUGACUGCUGCUUGCCUUUGUGCUUUUGUUUAAUGAAGUGUUUUUCUCUCUAUUAUUUUUUUUAUGUUUUAUGCCUUUUUGAUUAUGCCAAAAAGGGGGAGAAAUUAUUAAAUAGCUCUGAUGAAAAUUAUGUCUAAAACCUUAAGCAUUCUGCAACAAUUAUAGAAAUAGUUCUGAUAUAAAUAGCUCUGAUUAAAUAAUAGCUCUGAUUAAAUAACUCUAACAUUAAAAUUAAGAAAUUGCAGAAAGUUUUCAGAAAUCUCAUUGCUUGGAAAGCUCUGGUAAGAACUUCUGAACUCCCUAGUACUAACUCAGGGGGAGCUUUUGUCUAUCUGAUCUAAUAUUUUUCAUGUUUCAUCUGAUAAUUUUAUUUGUUUUGUCAUCAUCAAAAAGGGGGAGAUUGUAAGAACAAAAAUUGUUCUACAACAGAUUCCAUGAUUUUGAUGAUAACAAAGGAUGAAACCAAAAAUGGCACCCUAACGAAAAGUUUCUAAGUGUGCAGGGUUCUAAAGAAAGAAGAAAUAAAUCUGAUGAUGUCAUCAGAUGCAAAACAAGAUCAGAUGCAAAAUCUCAAGUAUCAGAAGCAUCUAAAGAGGAAUCUCGUUUCAAGAAGCUCUGACUCUGGACAAAACUACAAAGUAUCAGAAGCAUCUGAACAUGAAGUAAAGUCUAGAAGCUCUGACUCUGAACAAAUGCCUUCUGUAAAUUCUGAAGUUAUCAGCGCCAUCUGAACUUUCAAGAGAUAACAUCAGAAGCCAGUUUCUCCAGAUACACAAAGACUCUAAUCAGAAUUGUUAAUCAUGAUGAAGUAACGUUUAAGCCAAGUUAAAGUUCUGCAAAUGGAUUUCCUCAAUUAGAAAGAGACGUUAAUCUCCACUUCCAAGAGAGAAGAUACUAAUUGUGGUAAGUAGUCACUUCUAAGAGAAAAAGUCUACUGCAGAAGCUAUUAAUGGAAUGGCGUAACUACAUCUCAAUAUCCAACAGAUUCAACGCUACUUCAACUCUACUUCAACUCCUAUAAAUAGAGAAGAAAUCUCAUUCAGUAAACACGAAGAAAUCACUAGCCAAAACUAUACUGAAAUCAUAUCACGCUCAAGAAAAACAUCUUUGUUCUUCAAAGAUUUUCACUAAGCUUUUGCUUAUCAAGUGAAAAAUUUGUUCUUAAGUUUGUAAUAUUUGCUUUCUUAGAAGCACUCUAGAUUACACAUCUUGUAUCUAAUUUUUAUUUGAUUUCCUCAAGUGACUCUUUGUAGUCUGUAGACUUGAGAGGACUAAGAGAUUUUCUUCUCUCUUAGGGGUUGUUUGUAAUCUUUCAAGAUUAGUGGAUUAAGUCCUUGUUGAAGGCGAAAUCACCUUGGCCGGGUGGACUGGAGUAGCUUUGUGUUAUAAGCGAACCAGUAUAAAAUCUUUGUGUGAUUUCAUUUUGCAAAAGCGCUUAUUUUUCAAACAAUUCAAACCCCCCUUUCUUGUUUUUCUCACCUUCAAGUUUCACAAUUCUUUGAUGAACUAAAAUGCAAUUGAGGACUCCGCGUCUUUGAGUCAUAAAUCAUGGAGACUCAUAAUGCGUCCAAAAAUGCAUAUCCAAAAUUUAAGUGGCAUUUUCAAAUUUUUAUAGGAUGGUUUUCCAACACUUAUGUAGAGAUAAACAAUUUCGUAAUUAAAGGUCUCUAAGAGGAGUUGAAAUAAAUAUAUUUAAAAAAUUAGUAACAUAAUUAUUUAAGGAAUAAAGUUUUCUAACCAAAAGAAUUUUUCCCUAAUUUUUUUGUGCCUAAUUUAUUUUGCUAACAAAGUAAAGCCCUGAUUAUUGUUACUAAAUUUUAGUAAUUUUCAUUCAUCUCUCAAUUAAUAUCUCUUAUAAUCCUCAUUAACUCUCAAUUAAUGUAAUUCAUAUCUAUCAAAAAAAAUUGAAAAUUUUGUAUCUAGGCUUGGGACCAACUAGUUUAGUGAAUUGCUAAUUUCAUCUUAAGUGUUGGAAAUAUGCCCUAUAAAAUUUUGAAAAUACCCUUUUGAAUCCGAAAAUGCAUCUUCGAACGCACCUUACGCCUCACUAAAACACACCUCAACUUGUUGAUGUUUUUUAUGUAAUUCAAGUGAUGUAACCAGUUAUCUCGGGUAGGUAACCGGUUACAUAAAUGUCUAAAGUUCAAUCAAGUAGCAAAAAUGUGGAGUUUUUGAAGGUGUAACCGGUUAACCAUUUUGGUGUAAACGGUUACCACAAAAGCUGAUUUAAUUCAAUGUCAGGUGUAACCGAUUAUCCAUUUUUGUGUAACAUUACAAGCGUAAUAUUUUGAUUUUUCCUGCUAUUUUACUUGGUCAAUUCAGUUCCCAAUUGUGUUGUAUCUCUUGUAUAAGUGUUUAGAAUGCACACUCAUCUAAGGUUAAUGCAAUAAUAAUCUCUCCCCCUUAAUUCUCCUCUUUCACACUCCACAUCCAAAGUAUCUCCAUCAUUGUUCACCAAACUUGUGGUCUCUUGUUCCAAAAUUUGACAUCAAGAGUCUGGUUCAGAUCCACAAACACCUAGUGUGCAACAUGAAUUAUGUUUCCAAUGAAAGAAUUCCUGCAAACCUACCUAUCUUUGAUGCGAAGAAUUAGGAUAAACGGUGCAAGGAAAUGAAGAUGUUGUUUGGAUACCAAGAUGUUCUUAAAGUAAUCAAUAAGGAUGUUACUCCUCUUAUUCAAAAUGAAACAGAGGCGCAACAAGCAACACAUAAGGAAGAGAAGAAGAAAUAGUUCAAUGUGUUGAUGGCGAUGAUUUUAAGAAAGUUGAUGAUUGUGAAUCGUCAAAGUAAGCGUGAGAGAUCUUAGAGAAGGCAUGUGCAUGGGUUGACAAGGAAAAGGUGGUGAGGUUACAAACUCAUAAACGUCAGUUUGAAUUGAUUCAAAUGGAGGAAAAGGAGAUAAUCAAUGAUUUUGCAAUGAGAAUCACUCGGUUGGUGAAUCAAGUGAAGGCAUGCAAAGAAACUGUUACGGAGUUGUAUGUUGCUGCUAAAAUCUUGUGUUCUUUAACACCAAGAUUUAACAGUAUAGUUGUGGCAAUUGAUGAGUCAAAGGAUCCCGCGACGAUGAGCAAAGAGGAGUUGCAAAGUUCUCUUGAGGCUCAUGAGAAAAAGAUGGAAAAGAGGAAUAACGAUAAGGCAAAGGCGGAGAUUGCUUUGCAAGCUCGUUUCAAUGAGAAGGACAAGAGAUCGAAAGGAAAAUGGCCCAAGAAAAGAAAAGGGAAUUUUCAUAAUUUGGGUGGAAGAGAGUCCUAAAAUUCAAAUGAUUUGACUUGUCAAAGGGGUGAGAGCAGCUACAAUAAACAUGGUGGUCAAGGAAACUUUAGAGGUAGAAGGAAGAAGUUUGAUAAGAGCAAGGAGAUGUGCUAUAAGUGUCAAUGGUUCGUUCAUUUUGCAAAAAAAUACAAUGUGAACAAGAAAGAAUCUCAAGGGAUUAAACCAAGGUUGCAAGAUAAGAGUUUGAUGAAGAGAAUAUAAUUUUGGUCAUGAUCAAAGAAGGGAAUUAUAGCAGCAAACAACUGUGGGACAACAGCGGCAAUAAAUCAAAGAAUGCUAAAAAGGUCGGUUGAAUGAUACGAUUAACCGAUCGCAUGAAGAGGAAGAUACCAUGAUGAGUUUGAAAGGAGUUCAAUGUAGUGAUGAGUGGUAUUUGGACUUGGGUUGUUCAGCUCAUAUGACAGGAAUAAAGGAUUGGUGUGUCAAAAUCAAUCGUGCCAUGAAGAAUAAACUAAAGUUUGCAGAUGAAACCACCCUAAUGAUCGAUGGGAUCGAUGAUGUUUUGAUCAUGAGAAGGGAUAAUGGACAUUACUUAAUCACAAAUUCUUGUACAUUUUUGGAAUCAAAUUUAACCUUCUAAGUAUUGGCCAAUUGCUUGAGAAGGAUUCCAAGAUUCACAUGGAAGACAAUGGGUUGUGCGUUAUGGAUAUAAGAGGAGGCUUGGUCCUUAAAGCGCAUAUGGCUGCCAAUAGAACCUUUAAGGUUGAGUUGAAGGUUAUAGAGUAUAAAUGUCUUGCUACUACAUCAAGUAGACAACAGUGGAUAUGGCACUAUCGUCUUAGACAUCUCAAUUUUAGAGAUCUCAAAGACUUUCAAAAGAACAUAAUGGUAACAGGGCUGCCAUUGAUCAACAUACUAGCUGAAAUUUGUGAAGAAUGUGUGCAAGUGAAGCAACAUAAGGGAAAAUUGAGCAAGUAGACUCUAUUGGUGGAAAUAUGUAUUUUGUCACAUUUAUCGAUGAUCAUAGUACAAAACUAUGGACAUACCUAAUCAAGAUAGAUGACAAUGUAUUUCAUGAUCGUCCGUCAUUGCAUAUAUUUAGUCGAAGAAUCAGACAAAACAAGUGAAAGUUAAGAUAAAAUGAAGAAGAAUAAGGAAAAAAUAUCUAAGCAUGGAAACUGGGGACUUAUUGAAAUUUUGAGUAAAAAAGGGAGCAAAAGUGUGCAACCACUGGAAUAAUCAUGCGCACCAUCACGUAGCAUCGUGCACACAAUGGGGUCUUUAAAGUUGCAUCGCGCAUGCGAUACAAGGAAUCACGCGCGUGAUAAAUACUUUUUAUGGGCUUUUCAGACGCGUUCUGGUCCAUUCUAACGCCUUUAAAAGGGGAUUUUCUGAACUUUCACAAGAGUUACAAAAUUGGGAGAUCUAGGCACUACUUUGAGAGCACAAGUGGUGAUUUUUAUAACAUUAGAAGUUAUUGGAGACCAUUACUUCAACGUAUUUCACAUGUUAUUUUCAUCUAUCAAUUAUGAUAUUUUUAAUUGCAUUAUGAGUAGCUAAGCUCCUCUAGAUUAGGUUGUAUACUGAUGAACCUAUUUCUAUAUUGUUGGAAUCUAUGUUGAUUUAACAAUUGUGUGAACCUUUUGAACUAUAAUUCCAUUCAAUUGCUUCUUGUUCAUAAUGCUUUUUAUGUGAGAUGAUAUUUUAAUAUGAUUUUGGGAACAUAAGGAAUACUGACCAUUAGUCUAUGUGUUGGACCUAGGGAAAUUGUUGUACUUACGCUGGUUGAAUAGGAAUAGGAGACCCUGAGUAGUGGCGUAGAGAAUUAACGCUUUAUACAUCGCCUAACCCUGCUUACGCUGGAGGACUAAGGAUAAAAAGCUCUGAGUGGUGGUUAGUGAGUUAUUUCAUGAGGGAUCAACUAUAACAGUUUUGUUAAUUCGUCGUGGUGUUAUAGUGAUAAGACCAUUCGUACAAGACAUCAAACAUCAACAAUAGAGGAAUAUGAGAUUUUAAAACACAACUUGGCCGCUUUCGUGAUAUUGUUUAAUUGUUUAUUUACUUUUUGCACAGAAACUCAACCCCCCCCCCCCCNNNNNNNNNNNNNNNNNCCCCCCCCCCCCUUUACUAGUUUUUUAUAAAUUGCACACAUUUUGUCUUGCUUGAACGAAGUUCACGUGGAUUCGAUCUUUUUAUUACUUCGACGAUGUCAAUACACUUGUCGAGAAGUCAUCAAGUUUUUGGCGCUUUUGCCAGGGACUAUUAAUUUUUCAUCAAGGCGAUGUUUGUGCAAUUUUUUUUAGUCUUUAAAUUUUAUGUUUUAUUUUCUUGUUUCUCAAAAUGCUAUUGAGGUAUUUUCUAUUUGUGUAUGUACCGUUCAGGAUCAACAUUAAUACCAUUGGAUCCAAAAAUUGAAAGAAACGCACAUGCUCUCAGAAAAGCUGUUAGAGGAGCAACUCUGGAAAGAGGAAUACUAGAAGAAGAGUAAUUAUCAAGUUAGUCAUACUCUGAAGAUGAAGCUGUAAUGGCAGAUGCACAACCCCUAACUAUGGGGGAUUAUUAUAAAUGAACCGAUGAAGGACACUUCUCCAGAGGGUUUGUACCGGUAGACCCUUCUAACUUUGAUAUUAAAAAUUAUGUGCUUUAAGGUUUGAGAGAAAAUUUGUUCGGCAGGAACACGAUUAGAGACCUAUGGGUGCAUCUUACACACUUCUAUGAAACAACUUCAAUGUGAAAAUCAAUUGAUGCCACUGAAGACCAGGUUAAAUUGAGGUUGUUUGGGUUCUCACUAAUUGGAAGGGCGAAGAUUGGUUACUUUUCCUCCCGAAUGGAACGAUACGAACAUGAAAGGAAUUAGAGGAUAAAUCCCUGGAAAGAUUUUUCACUACUACUCAGUUUACCGAGCGCUAAGCAGAAAUUGUGAGGUUUGAGCAGUAGGAAAUUGAGUCACUUUAUGACUCUUGGGAAAGAUUCAAACUUUUGUUACGCAGAUGCUCGAAUCACAACAUGAAUAAUAUAGAGCAGAUGCAAAACUUCAUUAAAGGUCUCAAAGUCAAACUCACGUAUUUUUGGAUGCUUCUACGAGAGGUACUAUCUGAAAAAUGAAUGAACCAUGGGUAAAAGAUAUCAUUGAGAAAAUGUGUAUAAUUGAGUACCGAUCCAAGAACGAAAGGUCGAUCAAGAUGGGAACUGUGGGCACGCCUAAAGGUAUGUUACCUAUUGAUACCCACAUUGCUCUUUUAGCUCAGAUUGAAUUAUUAAAUAAAAAGCAAGCUGGAAGAAGCUUAGUUAAAGCUAACGUAAGUCAGGUACAAGCACUUAAAAGCGAUUUAUAUGGAGGAUAACAUGCGAAUGGAAGUUGUUCAUUGGAAGGGACAAGUGAGGAGGUAAAAUUUUAUAAUUUUUAAAAAAAAUAACUUGUAUUCAAACACAUAUAAUCCGGGUUAAAAAGACCACCCAAAAUUCCUUUGGAAUAAUAAUCAAAAUUCAAAUGCUAACUAAGGGAUGCAACAAAGCCAACAAGCUCUGUUUCAAAGAAAUCCAUCACAAAUGGUAGAGACCUUGAAAAUUUUCAUUAAGGUCACUCAAAGUAGCUUUGCUAGGGUAAAUAAGACCCUUGAAGAAAUGAGUAGAAACUAGGAUGCGUCUAUCAAAAUUUUGGAGAUGAAGAUUGGUCAAUUAUCCAGACAAGUAGCUACUUUUCCAAGCUCAAGUGGAGGAUUCACCAGUAACAUUGUUGAUAACCCUAAGAAUGAUAACCCUAAAUAUAGGUUUAGGGGAAAUUACUGAAAAGGAUAAGGAGGAGAUAGUUAAAGAACGUGUGGUUAAGAUAGAUGAGGGUACAAAUCAAGGUGACCAAGAGGAAAGAGGAGACAUCAUUGAUCAACUUAUUGACAAAAAUUCUCCUCGGGGGAGAACAAAGAAGCAGAUCAUGACUGAACCAAAUCCUCCUUUACCAGAUCACGUAAAACCACCGUACCCAAUAAUUAAAAAGAAAGUGGUUUAAGAUGAUGAAGCGAGAAUGUUUGCAAAGUUCAAGGAAAUUCUAGCUACUCUCCGGGAAAGUAUUUCGUUCCAUGAAAUUUUAGAACUAAUGCCUAAGUUUGCUAAAUUUAUGAAGGCGUUACUAAAUGGGACGGAAGAGAAAAGGAUCAAGGAACAUGUAAACAUGACCGAAAAGAAUGAUAUGGUAAAACCUCAAUCCUUACAACCUAAACUAAAAGACUCAAGUAAAUUUAUGAAGGAGUUAUUAAAUGGGACGAAAGAGAAAAGGAUCAAGGAACAUGUAAACAUGACCGAAAAUGAUGAUAUAGUAAAACCUCAAUCCCUACAACCUAAACUAAAAGAAUUAGGUAAGUUUACUAUUUCCUAUAAUAUUAGUGGAUUCAAUAUUCUGCAUGCUCUAUGUGAUAUGGGAUCUAACAUAAAUGUCAUGCCACCGAAAACUGUCAAAGAAUUAAAAGUGGGUGAGAUCACACCGAGUAACAUGACUCUCAGUCUAGUUGAAUUGUCUAUUACUCAUUCAAUUGGUACUUUACGCGACAUAUUAGUACCUAUCGACGACUUAUUGUUUCCUAUAGAUUUUAUAGUGCAUGAUACAAAAGAAGAUUCGGGAGGAUCUAUUAUUCUUGGACAUCCAUUCUUGGCAAUCGGGAAAGCAAAAGAUUGAUGUGUAAACUGGUCAACUUAUCUUGAAGUCAAAUAAAAGGAAUGUGGUUUUCAAGGUAUAUGACUGGACACCUUAUGUGGAUAAUUUGGAUACUUUCUACUAUCUGGAUGAAAAAGGUAGGAAAGUAGAUAAAGGAACAAUGAGAAAGAAAGUGACAGGCGUGAGGGUGUCCCUUGCGCCUGACGUACCUUAGACAUGGAUUAUCAAGCUAGUGAUGUUAAAAAAGUGUUUGAUGGGAGGCAACUCAUCAAUAAGAAUUUAUUUUUUUAUCAUAGUGAAUAUUAAUUUUUCUAACCUUGUUAAUUUUUGUGCUAUGUUAUUGGAAGAGAAAAUAGGUGAAAGAAGAAAAGAAAGAAAAAGCAAAAGGGAAGAAAAUAGAAAAAGAAAAGAGAGAGGAAAGUUUCAUCCCCCAGAAUCAUCACGUAUGAUAAUAUAAACUAGUUCUUUACAAUAAUAAAAUUUGAUAUUUAUUUAUACAAACACAAUUAUAUAAAGAGAAUAACACACAAAUCACACAUGAUAAUUUUAGAAUAAUUAUACUCUAAUAUUUUUUGAGUCGUGAUAUAUCCUCUUCUUAAAUAUUUGAAAGUUGAAUCUCUCUCACUAAUCUCUAUUCCCCUAUUUAUUUUAAGAAUAAACAUAUUGAAUUAAUAAAACAUAAUUGCACCUUUCUUAAAGGUUAUACAAACAACUACUAAAGUUGAAAAAACUAAAGAGAGGUCAACUCAAUCUUUAUCAAAUUAAAUUAAAGUUUAUUAUAAAACACAAACAACUAGUUCAUUCAAAUGAUAACUUGUUUAGUACACAAGUAAGAUCUUACUUAAUACAUAGAAAUAAGAUCUUACAGAAUAUAGAGAUUAAAAACAUAGGAAUAACAUGAAAAGCUUUUAAAAUGACAUAGACAUUGAUUAACAAAGAUAUGAACUAGUUUCGGGUAUUUCUUAACCAUCCGUCAAGGUAAACUUGUUUGGAGUCAGGGGUGGAUUUUGCUUUCUCGACUCGGAUAUCUUUCAACCAUCCAUCAAGGUAAACCUGGUUGUUGUCAGAGGUGGAUUUUACUGUCUCGGCUCGGAUAUCUUUCAACCAUCCAUCAAGGUAAACUUGUUUUGGAUCAGAGGUGGAUUUUGUUUUCUCUGCUCGGGUAUCUUUCAACCACCCAUCAAGGUAUACUUGGUUGGAGUCAGGGGUAGAUUUUAUUCUCUCGUUUCGAUAAUCUUUCAACCAUCCAUCAAGGUAAACUUGGUUGGAGUCAGACAUGGUUUCUGUUUGCUUUGCUCGAGUAUUUUUCAACCAUCCAUCAAGGUAAACUUGGUUGGAGUCAGAGGUAGAUUUUUCUUUCUCAGCUCGGGUAUCUUUUAACCAUCCAUCAAGGUAAACUUGUUUGGAGUCAAGAUUUUUCUUUCUCAGCUCGGGUAUCUUUUAACCAUCCAUCAAGGUAAACUUGUUUGGAGUCAGAGGUGGAUUUUGUUUUCUCUGCUCGGGUAUCUUUCAACCAUCCAUCAAGGUAAACUUGAUUGGUGUUAGGCAUGGACUUUUCUUUCUCAACUCUGAUAUUUUUCAACCAUCCAUCAAGAUAAACUUGGUUGGAGUCACUUGUAGAUUUUGUUUUCUCAACUCGGGUAUCUUUCAACCAUUCAUCAAGGUAAACUUGGUUGGAUUCAGAGGUGGAUUUUGCAUUCUCUGCUCUGGUAUCUUUCAACCAUCCAUCAAGGUAAACUUGGUUGGAGUUAGGUGUUGACUUUUCUUUCUCAACUCUGCUAUCUUUCAACCAUCCAUCAAGAUAAACUUGGUUGGUGUCACCUGUAGAUUUUGCUUUCUCAGCUCGAUUAUCUUUCAACCAUCCAUCAAGGUAAACUUGGUUGGAUUCAGAGGUGUCUUUUGCUUUCUUUGCUCUGGAAUCUUUCAACCAUCCAUCAAGAUAAACUUGAUCGGAGUUCUGGGAGGAUUUGGUUUUCUCUGAUCGUGUAUCUUUCAACCAUCCAUCAAGAUAAACUUGGUUAGAGUUAGCAAUGUGUUUUCGACUCUUCAAUGGAUUUUUGAGCCAACCAUCAAGGUAAGGUUGAUCAGCUUGUAUUUCUUGUACAUUCUCUUGCUGAAGUUUGAUAUAUCGGGCAAAGCUUCCUUGUCCAUUCUAUAAUACAAUUGAAUAAAUGGAUAUUAGUGAGUUAUUUUUGGAUGGUAUAUAUGAUUACAAAAACAAAAUUAUGUGUUUUAUGAGACACAUUAUGUUACAUAAAUAAGACACAUUCAUUGUAUAUUUCAGAUGGAUAUAGAAUGCGAAAUAAAAAUCAAAGAAAAACAAUUUUUUAAAUUUCAUUGCCGCAUAGAAAAUAUUAUUUUGUCAAAUUAAAUAGAACAACUUGAUUAAGUGAAUGAUGAAAUCAAAUCAAAUAAAGAUGCAAAAUGAUAGAUUGUGAUAAAUAAAUGAUGAAAAAUAUAUGUGUAAAAGAUACAAGAAUGGAUGCAUAACUUACAAUCAAUAAGAGCAUGAUAAAAGGGAGGAGAGACAAAACAUCUUUGUUUGUCAUUUCUUUAAUGUUAUGAUUUUGUGGGAAAAUUGUUUUAAUGUAAAAAGAUGUAUUGAAAUGGAAGUGAAUUGUGCUAUUUAUAAGUGAAUGAAAAGAAAAACUACAUUAAGGACAUUGAGACUUUGGUUGGCAAGAUUAUUUUUUUAAAUAUUUAGUUUAAAUUAUUUUUUAAAUGUUUAGUUUAAUUGAUAAGUUUAUAUGUCUAAGAAAGAUCAAUUUACUAAGAUUUAUUAUUUACAAGAUCUAUUAGGUGUGUUGUUUUGAGUUAUAAAAAAUAUUAAAAAAAUUGUUUGUUUGAUAUAUUUUUUUAAUUAGAAGCUCCUAACUAAAUCCUCUUAGUUUAAAAUAAAUAAAUUUUAGAACUGCUACUGCAAUUAUUUUUAUUUUAAAAUUAAAAAUGAUUUUCUAAAAAUCCUUAAUAAAAACAUAUUAAAAUGACAAAGGUGAUUUUGUUAAAUGUUAAACAAACAUUUAUUUUGAUAAGUUAUUUCAAAUAACUUAAAAUUUCAUAAAUUUAUUUUAAUUUAUAAUUAAAGUGGUAAUUAUGAUAAUCUCGCCUCUUGAGUUCUAAUAUUUGAGCUAAUAGUAUAAAUAUGUUUUAGUUGAAUUAGAAUUUGCAUUAGUGAUAGUUUCAAUUUUACAAUUAAUUAGACUAAAAUAUUGAUGUUCGUCAUAUAUAUAUAUAUAUAUAUNUAUAUAUAUAUAUAUAUAUUAAAUAGUAAUUAUAUAUUAUAAAUUUUAAUUUUGGGAAAAAAAUAUUAUUUCAAUAUUUUAAAAUUUUAAUAAUUAUUGUUUUAUAAAAUUAAUUAUAAUGAGUAUAAUAUUUUAAUUUUAUUAUCAUCAAAUAUACCCUACAUCAAAAUUCACAAACUUUAAAUAUAAAUAUCGGGAUCCACUUAAUUGAAUUGGAAUUUAAACAUCAAAAUUUAGACAAAUGUUAAAUUUUGAAGCACUUGGUUUUUGAAUCAUGACUCUUCUACAACCAACUCCUAGGGACUUACUACAUAGCCAACAAUGAAUCCAAAAUAGUUUCACAAGAAACACUAAAAUACUGUGUUGGCCUUUGCAUGUUUAAGAUGUUCACAUGUAGCUGGGGUUUGCGUGCUUAUGAGCUUACCUAAUAGUAAGUUAAAAAAACAAUAUAUUAUUAUACUGACCAGUCUAAAGAGAAAUAGAUAAGUUACUGUAUUUGUUAUUAUAAUCAAAUAUUAUCUAAAAAAGAAAUAAAUUAUAAGGAAUAUGUUUUCAUUAUUUUUAUCUUUAUUUAAAGAAUAUAAAUAUUUUUUAAUUAAUGAUAAAUAAUUGAUUUUAAAUGUGAUUACGGUUUAUAUCUUUAUCUAAGAAAAUAAAUGAUAAAAUGUGAAUACUCAUAUCUAAAAUUAAAUAUUUAUCCAAUUAUGUAGGCCAGCCUCAUAUUUAUUGUAAAAAUUUUAACAAAGUUUAAAAUAAUGAAAAUUAGAAUAAUGGUAUUCCUACAUUAAAUCUUACAUCAAAUACUUACAUUAAAUAUUUUUUACCGUAUUUAAACGAUGAAUAAUAUUUUUAUUUUUAAUAAAAAAAUAUUUAUAUAAAAAUGUUUUUAUUUUUAAAAUUAUUUUUAUAAUAAAAAUAUAAAAUUUAUCACAAAAUAAUUUUAUUAUCGUAUUAACUAUAAAAAUAUAGGUUAUAAAUCACAUAUUUCACUUAUAAUUCAUUAACCAGUAAAAUACAUAAUAUUAAUCAAAUUAUGAUAUUAAAAUAUGAAAUAUAUAAUUUGCUUAAUUAUUAUAUUUUAUAUUUUAAUGUCACAAUUUAUUUAUAUUAUUUAUUUUAUUAAUUGAAUAUAAUAAUAAGUAAAAUAUAUGGUUAAUCAUCUAUAUUUUUAUGAUUAAUACAAUAAUAAAAUUGAUUAGUGACAAAUUUUAUAUUUAUAUUACAAAAAUAAUUAUAAAAAUAUAUCAAAAACGAGUUUAAGACAACGUAGGAAAAAGUGAAGUGACACUCAAAUAUUAUUUGCUCAUUAAGCAAUCAGUUAAAAUUAAAGUGAAUUAACGAAUUAAGCAUAAAGUUUCACACAAUCAAAAUUAGGGAACAAUAAAUCAAUCGAACAAAACAAAACUACUAAGUUUUGAGUGUAAAAUUUGGUGUAAUAUUAAAAAUUAAAAAAAAAUUGAGGUUUAUAAGAUGUAAAAUUAUUUAUUAAACUCUUUUAAUAAAUUUAAUAUUAUGAUAAUUUAUUAUGAUAAAUAAUAUUUAAAAUAAGAAAAGAUUGAGCUUUUAAAGGAUGAAAUUCUAGUCAUUAGAUUAAAGAAAACAUCACCAAAACCUUAUUUCACAGAUGAAAUCGACUACAUAUAUGAUAUAUCAAUUUUCACGCUAAUAUUCUAUCAAUCACCAUAUUUUAUAGCCAUUAGACUAUUUAAUCAAAAUUAUUCAUAAUAAAUUUCAUUUGAUAUUUACUUUUUAAUAGAUAAUAAAGUAGAUAUAUUUAAUCUUUAUUAAAAAAUUAUUAAACAUUAUUGGUAUUAAAUAUGAUUUUAUUAAUUUUAAUUUUGAUAUAAUUAAUGGAUAUAAGUAUUGGCUCAAGAUAUAUCAAAGCCUUUGCCAAAUUUUUAACAAAGAUUUUAAUAAUAAAAAUUAUGAGUGUAAUAUUUAAAAUAAAAAAUUGAGCUUUUUAAAAUGUAAAAUUAUUGAUUGAAUUAUCAUAAAUCAGUUAAGUGUGUAUUUAUGCAAGAUGGGACAUCCCAUUUGCAGGGGCACAAAUUCAACCCACAACAUCUCACUUUUUAUCUUGGAAAAUUCCAAUCAAUAAAUUACUUGAUCCAAAAAAAUCAUAGUAAAUCUUGUUUGAUAUUUAUUUUCAAUCAAAUAUAUGUAAUCCUUAAUGAAACCUUAAACAUUAUUGAUUUUAAAUAAGAUUUUAUUAACUUUAAUUUUAUACCAUUAAUAGAAGGACUAUAUUCUGGAACGAAUUAAUAUAUUUUCGUUAUUCUUAUUUUUAUUUAAAUAUUUAAAUAUUAUUUAAAUUAAUAAUAAAUAAUUGGUUUUAAAUGUGAUGAAGUUUAUAUCUUUAUCCGAAAAAAUAAACGAUAGUGAAUAUUUAUAUUAAAAAAUAACACAAUACACUUAAAUAUUUAAUCUCCUUAACCUAUCUAAAUAUCUAGGCCGGCAUAAGACAUAUUGAAGUUUAGUGUAAAAAAUUUAACAAAGCUUUUAAUUAUAAAAAUUAUGACUGUAACAUUUAAAAUAAAAAAAAUUGAACUUUAUUAUUAGAUGUCAAAAUAUUUAUUAAACACUCUUAAUAAGUAUUAAAUAUAAAUUUAUUAAAUUUAUUUUUGAUACAAUUAAUGAAUAUAAGUACGGGCUCAAGAGAUAUACACGCCUUUGAUAAAAAAUUUAACAAAGAUUUUAAUUAUAAAAAUUAUGAAUAUAACAUUUAAAAUAAAAAAGUUGAUCUUAAAAGAUGUAAAAUUCUUUAUAAAAUUAUUAUAAUAGUUUUUGAUUAAUUAAUAUGCACAGUCAAUAUCAUUUUUUUAUUAUUAUUAUUAUUAUUAUUAUUAUUAUUAUUAUUAUUAUUAUUAUUAUUAUGCGUCGGUGUACAACUCAUAAAAAAAGACGUCAAUCAUAAAUAUAUAUUGGUACAGUGUCGUCAAUUGGAUUGACGCAUCCUCGUAGGUGUUAUAUGCAGGGAUGAAGCUAGAGAUUUUGAACUGUAGGAGCAAUAUAUUAAUAUAUAAAUUUAUUUCUAUUUAUUUUUAAAUCAUAAAUAUAUAUUUAAUUUAUUUUUAAAUCAUAAAUAUAUAUUAUAUCUAUUUUUUAAGAAAUCUAUCUCUAAAACAAUUUUUAUUAAUUUUUUAAAAUUUUAAAAUUUUAAAAUUUUGUAAAUUUUAAAAUUUUAUUAUCAAGAAAAAUAUUUUUUUAUGUAUUUUUUAUGAGAUCAUAAUAUUAACAUAAAAUUCUAUAAAUCAAUUUUUUUAAAGAUCGAGGAAAAAAUUAUUUUAAAAUUAUAACAAGAAAAACAAUUCAAUAUAUUUCAUCUGACAUGUUUUAAUUUAAUUAUUGAAAAUAAAAAAUUCACUAUAUUUUUGGACAAUAUCCUAAAUAAAUAUUCAUAUACUUUAUUAUUUUCAUCUAAUUUUUAGUAAUAUCUUCAUAAUAAUAAUAUUAUUUAUAUAAAUUUAAAAUAAUAUAAAUUUAUAUAUAUAUAUAUAUAUAUAUAUUUAUAUAUAUUAUAUAUAUAUUAAUAUAUAUUAUAUAUUAUAUAUAUAUAUAUAUAUAUAUAUAUAAUAUAUAUAUAUAUAUAUAUAUAUAUAUAUUAUAUAUAUUAUUUAUAGUAGGGACCAUUUGUCUUAUGCUAUUUUAAUUUGUUAUUUCUUAAUUUCCCCGUCUAUUUCAGUGUUUGGAUUAAAAAAAGGGGGGGGUCGGGGGUUCCCUCUUGGGGGUGGGUUUAGUAUUUUAAUGUUUUUUUACUUAAUAUUUCUUUUGUGUUUUUCACAUUCUUCUAUGUCUUAGAUUGACGUCUUCUUUAUUUUGAAAGUGGGUUACUCUCAGAAAUAAUUGAAAAAGUAAAUUAUUUUAGAUAUCUAUUUGAAAAGUUAGAAAAUCUUAAAUAUUAUUCAUUUUAAAUAAUAUUUUAUUAAUAUAAUUUUUAAUACCAUUAAUAGAAGGACUAUAUUCUGGUAUCAACCGAAAGGAUUAUAUUAUUGGACUAUUUUAAAUUUCCUAUUAUAUUGUUGUCGUCUAUUAUCAAUUUAUUUUAUCAAUAAAUCACUAUUUGAAAUUUUAUUAGUAUUUAAGUCUUUAAAUUCAUCUACACCUUUGACUUCUACUAUUAAUUUUCAUUUUCAUUUUUUUAAUGUUUAUAUAACUGGUACAUUGUUAACUUGUUUAUUUAAUAAACAUUAAGCAAUAUUUUUAAAUUAACUUUUUAAUUUAUUUUUAUAAAUUUAUCUAAAGUUCCCUUUUAUAAUUUAAUUAAAAUUUCAACUCUCUUUUUUUAAUUUCUAAUUUUUUUUAUUCAAAUUUUUUUAAUUGACAUUACUCUAAAUAACAUAAUAAAACAAUUUCCACAAUAAACACAAACAAAAAAAAAAUUCAAAAAUAAGAUAAUUGAUUAAAUAUAAAUGAUUUAAAUUAAAAGUAAAUAAAAUAAAAUUGCAUAAAUAAAAUAUAAUUUUAUCCUUUUACAAUGCUAGAGAGGACAUACACUUUAUCAUAGAAGUAACGAUUAAUUAAUGGAGAUGAUGAAUUAACAUAUUUUAUACUCUCAUAUACACAUUUUAGGUUGGAAAUGAUUUGAUAUAAUCCUUUAUCUAACCUGUUUAAAUUUUAAUGGGUUGAAUUUGUCGUUCAACCCACAAUUUCAUUGUCAAAAUUGACAGAAACCGACUUGUUUAUUUAAGGGUUGUGUUCGCGAUGUUUUAAAUAAAAAUUAUUUUUUUAUAUAUUUUUUAAGAUAUAAAAAAUUUAACCCAAUUCAAAUUAGAUGAAACACAUCAUAUAAUGUCUAAUAAAGUUCAUCAACACGACAUAACACUCGAUAAUAGUAUUAAAUUCUAAUAGUAUCAAUGUUAAAUUAUUUUAAAACAAUUAUUUUAAUUAACUCUUUAAUCAUAACAUUUAUUUAUUAUAUUUUUAUAAUACAUUAUAAUAAAUAUAUUAUAAAUAUUCUUAUUUUUAAUUAGAAAUAUAUAAUGAUAAGUUAAUUAAAUAAUUAUGGUUUGUGAAAAACAAAAACAAAAUCAACGUCAAAGUUAUAUGCUUCAACAAUUUAUAUAAUGACUCAUUUUUAAAUAAAAUAGCUUUAAAAAUUAAAAGUUUGAAAAAUAAUAGUUGAUAUAUUAUAUAUUUUAUUUAUUUUUAUGUUGACAAUAUAAAACAUAGACAUUAAUUUUAUUCUUUAACCAUAAUUUUUAUAAUAUAUUAAAAUAAAAAGUAGUUAAAAUUAACUAAUAAAAUUAAUUAUAAAUAGUUUAAAUAAUUUAAUUAUUAUCAAAUAAAAAUAUAUAAAAUAUUUAUUUAGUAAAGAAUAUUAAAACGAAUAACAAAUUAUAUGAGAUGAUAUGACUUUUUUAUAAUCUUUUGUUUUCUUAAGUUAAAUUAUUUAGUAGAUAAAAAAAAAAAUUAAAAUUGAUAUAUUUCUCUCUCUUCUUUAAAUGAUAUUUUUUUUUCUAUUUCUUACCUUUUAAUAGUUGGAUUAAUCAAAUGGUUUAAAAUUGCACAUGAGAGAGGGCAUAAGAGAAAAAAUUGGAGAGGAUCCAAUUCCGAUAAAAAGAUGUGGUAAAUUUAUGAGUAGUUUAAUAAUUUAUACAUAUUUUUAGCCUUAUUAAUUGUCACUUCGUUGAAAAAGAAAAAGGAAAUAAUAAUAAUGAUAGUGAUAAUAAUUAAAUAAUAUUGAAUUUUUUGACAAAUAAUGUUAUUAAAUAUUAUUGAAUAUAAUAGAUGAAAGAGAAAAAAAAAUGAAGAUCUUUGUCUGGCUUACCUCCUCGUUGAAUAGGGUAUGCUAACUAUUAAUAUGCCAAAGCCUCUUUAAAAAAUUAAACAAAUCAAUUAUAGGAUCCGAUAACUAUUAAGGAAUUUCUUAUGUCAUCAUAUGAAAUGGAAAAACUAUACAAAAUUUAAAAUAUUCAUUCAAGUUUAAAGAUGCAUCUUCGAAUACACAUUUGUAUCACCUUAUGACGCACUAAAUGAGCGACACCCUAAAGUAAAAUAAAAUCUUAUUCCAAAGAUACAUCUCUGAGUAUUUUGAACAAAUAUAUUGAUAUUUAAGCAAGCGUCCUCAGCAUGACCAGAUACCUGUAUCAUACACUCAGUUGCUGUCGUAUCUUGUCCAGUAAGGGGCAAUUGCGCCAAAAGAGAUUCCGCAUGCAACUCCUCCCUAAAAUCACAAGCAUAAUCCUAAUGUGCCUUGUUCAUUUCAUGUCGGAUACAUAGGGCAUUCUAUAGAGGAUUAUUUGGUCCUCAAGGCCAUAAUGCAAGAGUUAAUUGACCAUAAGGUUUUGUCAUUCUUUGACGCAUGACCCAAUGUCAUAAACAACCCGUUGCCAGACCACUGUGGACAAAUAGUGAAUGCAGUUAGUGGCGAAGAUUGCUCAGAUUCAGUUGCUUCUUCAGAGGAGUAUCGAUGCUAGCAAUAUCAUAUUGAUUCAAUCAUGUAUCAUUUGUAAUCCUUUCUUGUUUUUUAAAUGUUGUUCAUUUGUAACUUGUCUGGUUUUUCAGAUGAUAAUAAUAAUGAAAUAAACGUGCAUGUUUUGCUUAAAUCCAUUCGUGUCCACUCAUAUUUUAUUUUAUCAGUAUCAAACUGUUUGUCGAACAAAAUCAAAAGAGAAUGAUGCAAUUAAAAAUACGCAAGAUCGCUGCCUGUAUGGUUUUGAAUAAGAUCGUGCUGAUGAUGUAAGGCAUUGUUCAAUCCCUAAACACCGGAGAUAUAAGGAAGAUAAUCCCUAGUCAACCCCUUUGGGUAUUGUAAUAGGAGUUUCUUUCUUGAACACAUAAAACCCUCAUGCUUAACCAGGGGCAGAGUAUUCUUCAGUUAGUUUAGACUUGCAUUCAAAUUUAAGAAGGACAAUAUCUCAUCCAGUGAUCAAUCAUAUCAUAUCCCUCUCAAGAGGAUGGAAUCAUAAAUCCAGGAUGGUUAUCCCUUACCCAUCAAAAAGAGUGAGAUAAUCACGACUCGUGCAACAAAUCGAGAAAGCUGUGUCACAAGGUUUUCUCUAGUACAAAAAUAAAAGAUGAAACAAAAUUAAAAGCCCGCUAAGUCAAAAGCUUGAAAACAAGAUUGACUUAGGCAAAAGUCAGGGUAUCCCGGUGGGAUGCAGACCCAAAGGAUCAGCCUAGGAAAAAAUAAGGGUAAACAAAACAAAAGAAUUAGAGGAUCAAUACCAAAAUUCGUAGCGAGAGCAAAUCCCUGUGACUAUAAACAAAAGCAGAAGGCGAGUGGCUAUCGCUCUAAAUUCUCGUGGAUUCCUUAAACCAUCAUUGUUGAUAUUCAAAAUCCUUUCUGAAAGACGAACGCUUAUUUUAAGCUAAUUGAAUAUAGAACUAGAUAACAUCACACAGAAUGGGUGGGUUAGAAUAGGUUUUGAGCCUUAUAUCCUUUCUUUCUGAAACCGUGAACUAGGCCAAGUUACAACCCUCAAAAGACCUAAUUGAAGUAGGGUUUAUUUCAAAAGCAUACUAUGGUAAGAUCGCGUUAAGCUGACUCCUUAAGAUUUUCUUGUCAUAUGUUUGAUACUGAUAUGGCAUUCUAAACAGUGAUUUGUUCACUAGAUGUCAUAAUCUUAGUGAACACACUUGAGUUUUCAAAACUUGCAUGAGCAUGACAUUACAAUUAUCAUUUUAAAAAUGAGCGUUUUACAUGCGAACAUGCAUUUGACACCAAGGAAGCUUACAAUGGGAAAGUUGAUCAAAUUCCUAAUAUCCCAUAGCUCAAAUCUCUUCAAGAGCCCGUCAAUCUAAGGCACCAUGCCAAGAUUUUGCAAAUCUCUCUGAAUCAGCUGUAUAAGGGAAAAGUUUAAUUCGAAGUUCAUAUUGGGGAAGGCCACCUCAAGAGCAUGAGAAGUCAAUCACUCCUAAGAUAAUUAACUAGGAGGAUAUAGUUUCAAGAUGCUGGGGCAAGCCAGUUUGAGAUACUCAGAUGACGAGAUCACUCUAAUUUGUAAUUGGAGAAAUUGGUGCAGAUAUCCAAUACAUUGGGGCAGAGGCAGGCUACGCAGGUACAAGCUCUCUCCAUGUUCUAGACAUAAUCCAGAGGUGUGACAACAAUUUUUCAGCUUGAAGUAGGUUCGAAGAAUCACGUCUGGAGGAUACCAUAUCCUAGCCAAAAAUUUCCACCUCCCUCUAUAUGAGCACCUGGAUUAACCAUUGCAUAAAUCAUUAUCAUGAAUAAAUCACGUCGCUUCACUCAUGCAUACCAUUCAUCUAUCAUAGCAUGAAGCCGUGUGUGAGAAUCAAAGGAAUUAAAGCCCAGUAUUUUAUUGGCAUCUCCAAAUUCCAAACUUGCCUGGUACCUUUUUAAACCAUCUAGUUUGACAAUUCUUCCAAAAUCCAAUUUGCUUGGCGUCUUUUAAGCCCAGUUUGCUUGGUAUCUUUUUUCGACCUUUAGGGUCGAUGAUCCUCUUUUCCAACAUUCAUGGUUGAGGAACCUUUUUUCAAUCUUCAGGAUUGAUAACCUUUUUCCAAUCUUUAGGGUUGACGAUCUUUGUUUCUAACCUUCAUGGUUGUUGAAUCUUUUUCCCACCAUUAGGGUGAUGAUAGACUUUGUUUCCGGCCUUUAAGGUUGAUGAUCCUCUUGCUUUCAACCUUUGCGGUUGUUGAAUCUUCUUCCAACCAUCAUGGUUGUUGAAUCUUUUUCCUACCUUUGUGGUUGUUGAAAAUUUUUCCAAACCUUCUUGGUUGAUGAACUUUUUCAAUCUAUGUGAUUGACAAACUUUUUUCCAAACUGUAAGGUUGAUGACCUUUCUUUUUUUCAAACCUCUGUGUUUGACUUUGUUUCCAGUUUUUGAACUGAUGAUUCAUUUGUGAAACCCCUUGUUUGCAAGAAUAUUUUGGAACUUUCAUGCGCUCUUUGAUUAGCAUACAUGGCCACAUGUUUCAAAAAUGAUAAAAAAAAAUACAAUUUAGCAUGCAUAUCAUGAUCGUCAUUUGCCAUUAAUAUCCCCACAGUACAUCAAAAUCACCAGCAAAUAAACCCGUAAAAAAUCAAGUUGAUAUCCCUAUAUCUCAUACAAUUGUCCUUCAAGGAAAAAAAUUCGGAUACUUCGAUAUUUAAUCCACGCAUACCUUAAAAAGCUGAAAAGCUCUCGCAAUUCGACCAUUCAGGUCUAAGCUGAUUAAAUAGGGGCAGAUGUCGUAUCCUAAAUUUGUCCUCCCUAUUUCAUCUUUCCACUCAAUUUAUCAACUUGAGAUUCAUCUGUACCACAUUCAUAUUUCAUUCAUAUGCAUCAUUCAUUAAUCAUACAUUCAAAGCUUGUGGCCUGCAAAUCUAAGGUUUGUUGAUGGGACAUGGCUCUUCAUAGGCUCAUCAUGUGAGGGGAAACCCUAAUUUCAUACUCUUUUAGACUUUGAUUCAAAAAGGUUACAAUCACGACAUUCAUUUAGUCAUUCAAACCCUUAUUCCUGACUUUGUUGUCUUUCGGUCUCACAAGCUUUCACCUGUGUAUCAUGAAGCCCUAAUCAGGGAAGAUUUGGUCCGGUUGCACCUUAUGGCUUGACUUUUCAUCUUGUGUGUGCUGGAAACCCUAAUUCAUUAGGGAGAGGUGUUUGACUAUCCUAUUAUGCAUGCCUACUGGUUUGGAAUUGCACAUGAUUCAGGUCUUGUUUCAAGCAUCCCUAUGCCCAUCACAUUUAACUUUGCAUAGGCCAUUAACUCAAGUCUUUUGGUAUGGGCAAAUGCAUAGACCCAUAUGCCCGAUUCACUUCAUUCAUAUGAUGCAGAUGAUCAAGGAUGAUUGGUCCAUUUAAGAUUUGGUUCCAUUGGUUCAUUCUUUGUUUCUUAAGCAAAAUCAUUAUUUCAUUUGAAUUAUGUCAUGUGAAAACCCUAAUUCAAAUUUCACAGUUGACUUCGAUUAACUAGUUUACCAAAGUCAACCAUCCCUUUUUGAGUCCAUUAAACUUUUUCAUUAAUCAUUCACACUUAAUCACAUUUUUCGAGCUAUUUGAUGCAUCCAAUUCAUUCAAUUUUCAAAUGUAAUUUUGACCAUUCCAAACAUUUUAACCAUUCAAGGUUAACAAUUUAAGUUCUAUAAACCAUCUUCUUUUACAAUAUAUUUCCACUCAUAAACUUUCCAUAAGCAUUCAAAAUUUUCCAUCAUAAAUAUCAUUCAAUACAAUAAACUUGUCCAUGGUUCGCGCAUUUAAUCCUUUCUUUCCAUCAUUUAUUUGCAUUGCAAUUCUAUUCAUCCAAAGUAUCAAACUUUUCAUAAUCACCAAGUUCCAUUCCAAUACAUUCAAGUUUUACCUACAACUUUCCUUUACAAUUAUUACAAACCAUUGUUUUACAUUGUUACACUAUGUAUCAACCAUAUCCUACAUAACCAUAUUAACCAUUCCAAAUGAUCAAGCAAGAUAGAAUUUCAUUCACUAACCAUACAAGAUAUCUCAAGCAUACAUUUCCAUUUCAAGCUACAUUAUAAUGCAUCAUAAUCCAACAAUAUCAUGAAGCAGCCCAUGGCCUCUUAUGCAUUCACUAGAAAUAUUUCCAUAGCACAAAUUGGCCAUGUCCCAAAAGAUAAUGCACAAAAAAAGCAUGAAAUAUCAUGAUUCUGUUAGGCUCUGUUUUGAAAUUAUUUACCUGAUGAACAACAGACAUAAAUGCCGAUCGAGGUUAUAUGGAAGCUUCAAAUACUGAAAAAGAAAACACACCCAUUGCAUUGAUGGCUACAGCUCUUCCUUUGAAACGCCAUUGAAGCUUCAAUUCGUGGAGCUUAAACCACUGCACCUCUUCGACCUCACGCGGAAAACGCAACAACAGCAUAUGCUUAGAAGAACAGAGGGAGAGGAAUAAGAUUGCAGCAACAUAACAGAAAGAGUGAAGGAACAAAAUUGAGACGAAGAAAAAGGGAAGAGAUCGGUCAAUACCUGUUCGCAGUUGAAGCAUCAAAUUUGGUAAGUCCUUUUGAUUUUCUUUUCUUUCUGUUUAAGUCCGCGAGCACAAUGUUGGAUGGAAUCACAUGUCGAUGAGGUUGAACACAAUCCAUGAACUCUAUUAUCUGUUAGAAUUAGAAUAUUAGGUUAUUAAGUGACAAUUAGAAAUUGUGAUUUAAUUAGAAUUCUAGUAUUGAUAGAUUUUGGAUUUUCAUUAGAAUUAAUUAGAAAUUUUAGAAUUUAACUAGGGUUUUAGAAUCUAUUUUAGACUAAUUAGAUUUUCACAUAAUUAUAUAUAAUUAUAAUUAAUUAGUUUUUGAUUAAAUGUUGAUUAUUAGAAACUAUUUUCCUAAUUAAUCCAUUUAUGCAUAUUGACUAUUUUACCCUUUAGAGGUUAUGUUUGUCAUUUUAGCCAUAAGGACAUGUUCCUUUAGGUUUAGAUCUUGACAUCAAUUUUUAAUCAAGUCUUGACCAAUUAUAUCAUGAUCCCUUAGGAUAGUUUGUAACAAAUUCUAACCAUUAGAUUAGGAUUUAAUCUAGUUUUCAAACUAAUUCAAACCUUCUGAUUCAAAUUGAUCAAAAGCAAUUUUGAUCAAUUAAAUCAUUUGAUAUUGUAUAAUCCCACAGUCUAAUUUGAGUGACACAAAUACUCUUGGUCACCUAAUGAGACUUUUUCGGUAAGUUGUGGAGCUCGAGGCCUCAAGUCAUAUUUUCAAUCAAGGCAUCAUCGGUCAGACCAAGCAGUGGAUAAUACAAGGUACAUCAAAGGUGGCAUCUUUGAGAGCUUGUCAAAUCAAAGUUAUGAUUGUGUGGCAUGAGCCUUGAGUAAUGAAGAAAGAAUGAGACUGAAGAAUUCCUACCCCCAUCAACACAAAGGGCAUCAUGUCAGCAACUUGUUAAUUUUGAUUCAAGUUGCAUGCCAUGAGCCUUAAGAAACAAAGAAUGAUGAGAGUGGGGAAUUCCUAUCCUUGUCUAGAAUAUUCUUGGGUACGGGACGAAUGACCCAGUUGCUCAAAGUAUUCGCCUUUUUCCAUAGACUUUGGUGCAAUUUAAAUCAUGCAAUUGACAAGCCUUCUUCUUCAAGCAAGCAUCAAUCAUUCAACACUUCAAUAGUGAAACACCAUUACCCCCUUUAGUAUUGGACUUUCCUCCUGGAUGUUCAUACAUUUCUUGGGAUUAUUACCUUGGGGUCACAUACCCAUCUCGCAAUCAAUUGCUUCAUGCAUUGCCUAUCAGUUCACACUAUGGCAUACUUCAUUGCUUGCCCUCAACGUACAGACCCUGACAUUCAGCCUAUGGAGUACAUACUCUGGCUUUGUUUCUUCCCCAUAAGGUACAGACCUUGGCAACUUCUUGCAGCCCAUAGAGUAUAGACUCUGGCUUUAUUCCUUGCCUACAACAUACCGAUCUUGGCAUCCUUGCCCUAAUGAGUUCAGACUCUGGCCAUCUGAUUUUGUCUAUACAGUACUGACUUUGACAUAUUAUUAUGCCUUAUAGUUAAGACUUUGGAAUUCAUUCAUCCAGCCCAUUGGGUUCAGACUUUGGCAUCGUACUAUUUUGCCCUUAUGGAGUUCAGACUCUGGCAUUCAAAUCAGUUCAUUUGCCUUAUAUAGUUCAGACUAUGGCAUGCUUAUACAUCUUGCCCAUGGAGUUCAGACUCUGGCAACCUUUAACAUUGUCUUGAAGUCAGACUUUAGAAUUAUAUCUCCUUUUCCCUUAUUGAGUUCAGACUCUGAGAAUCUGUUCCUUGCCUUUGUAUUAGUUCAGACUAUGGAAUUCAUCUAUCUUGCCUUGUGGAGUUCAGACUCUGGCUAUAUCUCAUUUGUCCUUAUGGUUGAUUACCAUCUUUGGUAAGUGUCAUACUCUCGCUUAUUAAGCAAUCACCUUGCCUCUGAGCAAUCCUAUCAAAUCUCCCUUUGCUUUCAGUUGUAGUAGGCUAAACUACGAUUGCUCUGAUUUUCUCAUUGCACGAUGAGAAUACAUAGGCACAAGGGUUCAAAUCCUCCGUGAGCAUACUUAUUUAUUACUCCUACCUUAGGGCAUUUCUCCAUCCAUCUCCAUGAUACAGUCAUAUACUACCUUUAUUCACUUCAUGUGAUAUACCCUAUUCUUUGAGCCAAAUACAUUAUACCUUUGUGCUCCAUCUUGUACCCCUUUGUGAACCAAGAGAUGUUUCUGUUGUGAAACCAAAAUUAAUUUCCUUUGUUUUCGGCUAUACCAUAUAGUGGCGAAUGUUCAGACAAUCCAUAUAUCGGUUUAUUCCAGUUUUACUCUUGGGUUCACGCUUUCACCCCUUGUUGGGGUUCAAAAUAUUAUCCUCUGGUUCAGGCCAUACCUUGAUCACAACUUCCUUUUCAUCUCCCACCACUAGUUCUUUGAACUACGAAGUUAUGAAUUCCUCAUUGCACUAUGAGUAUACAUAGGCAUGAGGGCCCUAAUCCUCACCGAGCACUCUAUCUAUUUCUUUUCAUUUUCCCCAUUCUUUUGCGAGUAAUCUUUAGAUACAACACUCAUUCGAGCGAGAACAAUCAAAACGGUUCCCAUGGAGUACCAUAGAUGUUAGGGAUGCUAAUACCUUCCCAUUGCAUAAUCAACUUCCUUACCCAACAUAUCUCUUUCCCCUGGGUUUUAUCGAUGUGUUCGGGUAUAUUUCCGCUAGCUGCAUCACCAACUCCAAAAUCUCAAAAAAGUGUUUUUAAAGGAACUCGCAUUAGCAAACCACCUCCUUCACCGUCUCUACCAAAAAUUUCAUUCAUUGACGAGAUGUUAUUUUUUUCAUAAAUACAUCGAACAAAUCGUCAAUGUUGAGGGUGACGGUAAUUGCGAUUUUCGAGCUAUUUCGAUUUUGCUGGGUAAAGGAGAAGAUGAUCACACACUUGUCUGCCAUCAACUUAUCCAUGGUUGAGGACCCAUAUAGAAUUAUACACACGACUUUACCGAAAGAAACAAAAUUUUGAUGCAAUUUAUGAGUCUUUUAUUCCUUGCAUUAGUGGUCCGAAACCAGAGGAAAAAUGAAUGUGCUUCCCUGAAAUGAGUCAUCUCAUAGCAAGUGCAUCUGAUAAAGUGUGUAUUGGUCUUACAAGAUACGAUUUUUUGGAAACUUUUUUUCCACUGCGCACCACCCAACCUCAAAAUCUAAAUGAUCGUAUUUUGUGUAUUAGAAUACCUUUAAAAUUACGACACUUUGUUCAAAUUUAUUUGAAACGGGAUGUCGUAUACCACUUACAUCAGUGGAGUGGACAACUCAUUCAACAAUAAAAUCCGGGACUUAGACGGGCCAAUUUAUGGAAAAGAUGCAAGAGUUUACCAAAUUGAGCGACAUUGAAAGUGAAUAUAAUGCACAAAAGUCAAAGGGGGAACCACUCAUACUUAUAAAUUUAGCCAUCGACAAAUAUUUCGAUUCGUUUUAGUUUUUCGUUAUCAAUUAAUUGUAUAUAAUUUUGUAUUAAUAGUAAGGGUUAAUAACAUUUUUAUAGAAACAUUCUAGUUGUACCUUGGGGGGAAUGACCCAUGAUUGAUGCUUACGUGUCAUGAUAAAUAUCAUGAUAUAUUUUAGUUUUUAGUUUUUUAAUUACAUAUAUGCUUACGUGGACUUACAGUUUUUUAUUUAUGAAUUAUUUCUAUUUUCAUGUGAAAAUUUAUUUUCUUUUUCAUUUAUUUUAAUCAUAACAAUUAUCAAAACUACUUUAAGAAAGUUCUAAAAUUUUGUCAACAAUGAAAUUCUCAUACGGAUUUGGCAAGGAACUUUGAAAGGAGAUUUGAAAGCGUGAACCACAACCAUAGAUAGGAAGAAGGAGAAUUAGGGUUCAACAUAGUUUGAACCGUGUUUAUGUUUAUGUUAGGGACCGAUUCGGGCUAGACCCAAUCUAGGUUCGGUUGAUCCACUAACCAUUAGUUUUUUUUUUAAAUUAUUUUGUGAGUAUACCAUUUGUUGUUUGGCCUUACCUAUUUGUGACUUGGGCAAACCCCACUUUAGGAGCCAUCUUGUCUUAUUUAUUUAUUUAUUUUUGUCUUUUCCUCAACCUUUUUUAUUGCAUUAAUAUUUUAGUAAAAGAAUAUAUAAAAAACAUAAACUUUUUCAUGAAAAAAAAGGUGGUUUACAAUUUUAUAAUAAUUGAUUUUUAUUGUUAUUUCAAUUUUUUUAUCAAUAAAUAAAUAAAAGUAGACAAAAUUUGUUUGAUGCGUGCCUUAGGGUUUCUUUUUCCUAUCAAGCUAUAUCUCAAAAGAAGAAUAUUUCUUUAAGAAUUAUUCCUUUUUUUAAAAAUAAAUUUGAUUCCAUUAUGGUUUGAUUUGUUUGAUCUUUAUUGAUUGUGUGAAUGCUUGUAUUGUUCAUACUUGAUCCAUGAUUUAUGUAACCUUUCACUUAGACCUUCGAUUGUUAGUAAGAUAAAAGUAAAUGUGCAAUAAAAUCAACCUUUUAAAAUAAGAUUCAAACACUCUAUCGAUAUGAAUUUGGUUUUAAAAAGAUCUCACUAUUUUCACCAUCCAUUCAAAGUUAAUUUCAAGUCAUCUCACAAAUUAUUUUCAUGCUAACACGAAUAAACCCUCGAUCAACAUCGAGUUUCUUUUUUGCUUAUUAAAAACUUGAAAAUCAUUUUCAUAAUAAAUCAGUUGAAAAAGGAAUGGGAGGCGCACACAUCUCUACUCCUCGAAUAAGUGAGUGAUUGGUAGACUCCAUAUUGCUCUAACUUUCAUCUUCCGAAUAAAAUAUCCUAAAUAAACAUGGAUGAAAAAGGAAGAGAGGCGCACACAUCUCUACUCCUCGAAUAAGCAAGUGGAAGACACACACCUCGCUACUGCGAAUAUUUUUUCUUCCGCAAAUAAUUUUCAAAAUAUUAAAAUCAAACAAAAAAGGAAUGGGAGGCGCACAACUUGUUGCUCCUCGAAUAAGUGAGUGAUUGGUGCGCGCCAUAUUGCUCGAGCUUUCAUCGUCUUCCUACAAAACACUAAACCAAUCAAACCUAUUUUCUCGCCCCCUUCGUUCAUCCCAAGACGAUGUAAACACGCUUCAUUUCUACCAUGCGCAAGAAGUUAUAACUCUUUUCGCUCGAAUGUGACGAGAACAAAUUUGUGAGAAUCUGGAUUAUGUUAUUCAUUCUAAUGUGAUGCCAAUGUUCACUUCUCCAUGUUUUUAGUAGCAAAUAAUGUUUUCGCUCGAAUGCGACUAAGUACCUUUCGUAAAAACUGAUCAACAAACAAAAAAUUUCUACCCAGAACUACGUAGCCUUGAGUUUUUCAUCGCACCUGAGAUAUGUAGAAGCGAGACCCGUAAUCUCGUCAGGCACAUUAAUAAAAGAAAACAUUUUGCGACCCAUUUUGUUUUCUCUUUACACUUUUGACCACUCGAAGAAAACAUAUGACAUAAGCUAAAAUUUCAACCACAAAUCUAACUAAAUGGUUCCCGUUGAGUGUAACAGAUGUGAGGGGUGUUAAUCCCUUCCCCUCGCAUAAUCGACUCCCAAACCUGAAUUUGAUUGUGACAAACAUUUUCUUUUUCUUUUAAGGAUUUUAUCAAUAUUUCCCCUCCUUUUUGGAAUAAAUCAAUUUUGAUGGUGACUCUGUUAUCUUGACCAUGCAAGCGCUCAUGGUCAUUUUUCGCGUCGCGACACUACUGUACAAUAGUUAUCUGUAUCAAAAACUAAAAUAUUUGUGUCUGUAUCUUGUUGUCUAGGAUUGUUGGAAACGAGAAGGAUGGAAAAAUAAAGUGUGUUUAUUUUUCUAUGUUGUAAAAUCACAAGGUGGUUUUUCUUGGUGAUUAAGUUAGAAUCUUGUGUAUAGAAUCUAGGUUUAGGCUUGUACAAAAUAAUAACAAUAUUGAAAUCUCUUAUAGUGUCUAAGGGGACUGACAUACUCUCAGAUUGUGAUGGGAACUAGUAUGAUUUUCGAUGUUAUUUACUUUAUGCACUUUACUGCUUUCACCACCUAACCAUAAACCAAAAAAUAAAGAAACAUUCAUCUCUAAAAACAAUGUACUUACAGCGAGAGCAUGAUAUUCCGCUUCAGUACAUGAACAAGACACAAAAUUUUGUUUCUUUAAGCGCUAUGAAAUCAAGGAGUUACCCCAUAACACAUAAAUGCUAGUGUAUAUUUCCUAGUAUCCAGACAACGUGCCCAGUCGAAGUCAGCAAAACCAUGCAGCUUUAAGGAAUUAUUGCUGGCAAAAAAAUGCCUCGAGUAGGAAAUGCCUUCAGAUACUUCAAAACUCGAGUGGCUUCCUAACGGUGAGGAACCAAGGGGUUAGCCACAUAUUGGCUAAGGUGACGGACAAUAAAAGAAAUACUUGGCCGUGUGUUUGUAAGGUAAAGUAGCCUGCUAAUUAAUUUACAAUAUGAAGAAGGGUCCUCUAAAGGAGUACCUUCACUAGAUGAGAGCUUCAUGUGAGGAUCAAUAGGUGUGGAGACAAGCUAAGCCCCAAGAAAACCAGUGUCCUCAAGCAGCUAGAGCAUGUAUGUUCUCUGGCUGAGAAAGAUACCAGAAGUAGAACGUGCAAUUUUGAGGCCCAAGAAGUACCUUAGUUGACUGAGAUCUUUAAUGCAAAAUUGUUGAUGCAGGAAAGACUUUACUUGUUUAUUCCACAAUCGAGUCGCUUGUCAAGACAAUAUCAUCAAUGCACACUGAUAAGGAAGUGAAACCAUGAGGUGUGAUCUUGGUGUAUAAUGAGUGACCAACAACAGAUUGAGAGUAGCCUAAUGAAAUGAGAGCUGAAGAAAGCUUAGAAUGCCAUUGUCGACUGACCUGUUUCAGUCCAUACAAUGAUUUUUUUAAGUGUACAAACCUUGUUGGAUUCAAGAUUACCAUAGCCAAGAGGAAGAGACAUAUAUACUUCUUUAUUUAGGUCUCCAUGAAGGAAGGAGUUUUUAACGUCCAGUUGCUCAAGGUGCCAGUGUUUGACAGCUGCAAGAGAUAAAAGAACACGAACAAUAGUAAUUUUGGCAAUUGGGAAAAAAGUAUCAAAGUAAACUACAUGUUCUAAUUGAGUGUAACCCUUGGCUACCAACCGGUCCUUGCAUAUAUCAAUAGAGCCAUUGGCAUGGUACUUGACUUUGUAUAUCCAUUUACAACCAACUGGAGUUUUGCCUAGAGGAAGGUCCACAAUGGUCCAAGUUUGAUUGUCCUUAAGAGAUGCAAUUUCAGUAUCCAUGGCCUACUUCCAACAGUCAUGUUUAGAGGUAUGAAGAUAGGUUUUUGGUUUAAAUAUGGAUGAAAUAGAGCAACAAAAGGAUUUGUAAGUUGGAGAGCAUUUUUUAUAUGAUAUAAAGUUGGAGAUAUGGAAGGUAGUGGAAGAGGAGUUAUUUAUAGAGGCAUAUCUAUUUGAUGAAAGAAAGAGAUUACAAUAAUAGUCUUUGAGAAAACUAUGAGGGUGUUUGGUUCUCAUUGAUUUUUGAGUUAGUAGUGUGGAUUGGUUUUGGGGAAUGUCUGAGGGAGGGUUAGAAUUAUGUGGAUACAUGUUAUCAACUAAGGUAUCAUGAAGGAUGUUGGGUUCAAAGUCAAUAACACUAGGAUCUUGGGUACUUGGUGAUGGAUUAAAAGUAGUUUGAUAUGGACUUGAGGUACUAGAGUCAAUCAAAGUAGGUUGAUUGAGACUUGGAAGGUUAGGGAUAAGUCCUGUUUCAGAAGUAAUAGGAUAAUCAUAAGAAUUUGUGACUGGUGUGACAACAGUAGAAGGAGUGGACAUAUGAGGCUCAGGGGUCAGAGUGAGGGCCUGAGGUGUAACAUAGUCAAUGUCAUAGGUGAUGUCCAUCAAGCUAUGAAUAUAAGUAGGGAGAUUUGUGGCAUUACUUUUGAAUGGAAAGGUGGUUUCAUAAAAGAAAACAUUUAGAGAUAUGAAUAAGUUAUGAGACUGAAGGUCAUAGAGAAUAUAACCUUUAGUACCAUCUUUGAAACCAAGGAGAAUGGCUUUUCUAGCCCUACCAUUGAAUUUUGUUAUGUGGGUCUGUAAAGUUGUUGAAAAACAUAAACAAACAAAGACUUUCAAAUGAACAAUAAUAUAUUAAGUUUUGAAAAAGCAACUCGUAUGGAGAUUUUGACUGAAGUUGAGGACUAGGGAUCCUAUUAGUCUUGUGGACAACAUGUUGAAUACUGAAGUUCCAUAGGUUUAAAGGAAUAUGUGUUAAUGUUUUCUCUCAACCACCCCAUUUUGCUGUUUUUGUUAUAGUGGUGGUGGUGGUGUGUGUGUGGCGGGGGGGGGGGUGUUCUACACAAGAUUUAUGGCGACUUAUGCCUUUGGAAGGGAAAAAGGAACUAAGAGUUAGGAACUUUGAACCCUUAUAUGACCUAAAGCAUUUAAGAGUGGUUUUGAAUUUAUUUCCUAUUGAGGCAAUAAAAUGUAUUACACUUUGUUUUGUUUCAGAUUUUUCCUUAAUAAAAUGACCCAUGUAAACCUUGAAAAUCCAUCAAUAAGAGUUAAGAAAUAUUUAUAGCCUAAAAUAGAAUCAGUAGAAAAGGGCCCCCAUAAAUCAACAUGUAAAAGUUCAAAUGGAGCAUGAGUAUGAGUAAGACUAUUUAGAAAGGGGAAUUUCUUUUGUUUUGCAAAAUGAAACGAAUCACAAGGGUUCAUGUUAUUUUUACAAGGGAUGGGGGGAAAAUGUUUAGCCAUAGUUUUCAUACUGAAAUUAGAAAGGUGGCCUAGUCUUAGAUGCCAAAGUUCAAAGGAAUUAGAAAUAACAUAAUUACUAGUGGAAUAAACAUCACUAAUAUCUAUCACAUAGAGGCCUCUGUGCCAUUUAGUUGUACCAAGCAUUUGCUUUGGAUGGUUCUGCAAAAUAUGACACAAGUUUGAAGAAAAUUUCAGAUAGCAAUCAAUAUUGCUAGUCAAUUUUGUGACUAAGAUUAAAUUAACAUGAAAGUUAGGAAUAUAGUGAAAAUUGUAAAGAGUUAAGGAAAGGGAAAUGACAAUGUUUCUAGAUAUGCAGGCAGUCAUGUGAGAUUCAUUUGGUAAGGAGAUUAAGCUAUUGAUUAACUUAACUCACAAAGAAAGAGUCGCCACAACGCUUUUAUUAUUUCCAAAGAAAAUAGAAAAAGAACGAACCAAACCCAAAGAAGUUUAAAAAAAACUAAUAAAAACAAAGAUAAGGGUCCAGGGGUUGGUUAUGUACAGGGAAGAUACUAGCACCCUAAGCAUCUAUAGUACUCUACAGGAACAUCUUUGAAAAUAUGUGCAUUUAGAUUUAAAAUGGUGUUGUUUACAAAAGAUUAGGGAGAUGAAAAGAGAUUUUUUUUUUAUAAUUUUUGUGUUUGCCAAGACUUUCUGAACCUCGUGCCUACGUACCCAUAAAGUGCAAUGGCGAAUCAAAACCUCGUAGUUCGUGGUAAAAAUAACAAAGAUGUUUGCUUUGAUUCAUUUUUAAUGAAUUUUUUUUUGUCAUUUUAAGAAGAACAUUCAACUAGCCAUCCACAAGUAUGGGAACUUUGCAUCACCAUGAGAAGGACUCUAACUUGGAUAAAUAUCAACUAGCUCUCUUAUAUAGAAAAGAAUUAUUAUCAAUACUAUGGGGAUAGAAAAAUUAUAUAUCAACUAUGGAAAUGACUCGUGUCUAAACUUUGAGAAAAAAGUUUUAAAAAGGAAAAAAAAAAGUGCACAAAGGGCACAAAAAGGUUUGAAUGAGUUAUGCAUUUUUAGUUUUUUGAAAUUGGUUUGAAUAUGAUUAAGAUGUAUUAGAAUUUAUUAAUAAAAGAUUUUGAAAAGAAAUCACUUGAAAAAAGUCAAGGUUUAUUGAGGAAGUAGUUCAAGUUUGAAAACAAGAAUGUUUUGAAAAAAAGAGAGAAGAUUUUGAAAAUCAAAGAAGGGGAGGAGAGGAAGAGAUUAUCCUAGAACAUAAAGUAAAAGCUAUGGAGGAAAGAUCCAACCAAGAGAUAACAACAAGAAUUCACUCCUUUGGAUUAAGCCUUAAGCAAGUCAAAUAAGCAAAGAAUAUUCCAUGUAUCAGAUGAAACCAAAGUAGCCAAGCAAAAUCUUCAAAAGAAUCUCAAAGUCAAAGGUAGCAGAUGAAUCUCAAGGUCUCAAAUCAGAAACUCCCAAAAGAUAAACAAGUAUGCCACUAGUUCUCUUAGAUGGAAAAUAAUUAUCAUCAAUACUAUGGGUAUAGAAUAAUUACAUCUCAACUAUGGAAAUGACUCAUGUCUAAACUUUGAGAAAAAGUUUUAAAAGAAAAAGUGCACAAAGGGCACAAAAUAGUUUGAAUGAGUAAUGUAUUUUUUAAGUCUUUUGAAAUUGGUUUAAAUGUGCUUAAUAUUUAUUAGCAUUUAUUAAGAAAAUAUUUUGAAAAUCACUUGACAAAAGUCAAGGUUUAUUGAGAAAGUGAUUCAAGUUUGAAAACAAGAAGGUUCUUGAAAAAAAAAGAGAAGAUUUUGAAAAUUAAAGAAGGGGAGGAGCUAAGAAGAUUAUCCUAAAACAUAAAGUAAAAGUUAGGGUGAAAAAUCUAACUAAGAGAUAGCAAGCUUUAUGACAUGUGUUAAGUAAGAACACUCUCCUUUGGAUUAAGCUUCAAGCAAGUCAAACAAGCAAAGAAAAAUCCAUGUGUCAGAUGAAACCAAAGUAACCAAGGAAAUUAUUUAAAGUAAUCCCAAAGUCAAAGGUACCAGAUGAAUCCCAAGGUCUCAAACUAUAAACUCCCAAACAAGGGUCAAAAUUCUAGUUCUAACUCCGUAACUCCAUAAUAAUCCCAAUGAUAGUAACCUCAAGUCCAUGAAUUAAGAGAACCAAUUUUUAGGGGUUUUUUCCUUUAUUAAUGUAUUUAAAAGAAAAAGAAGUCUAAAUGGACAAAGAAAAAAAGGCAUAAACAUAAACAAAGGUCCAAGUGGACAAAUAGAAAAUAGCAUAAAUACAAACAAUAUGAUAUGCGAUGCUAAAAUAAAAUCAUAAAGUUAAUAACAAGAAAUAAAUGGCAAAAAAAUAAAGAGCAUAAGAUAAAUGGCAUUAAAGUAAAUUUAAUAUAAUAAUAUGUUAGUAAGUUGUGUUAGUAAUAAAAAAUUGAAAGAUAAUUUAUCAUUUUUGGGAGAAUACUCAACUAUUCGCCCACAAGUAUGAAAAUGUGGACCUCUACAUCACCAUGAGAAAGACUCCAACUUGGAUAAAAUCAAUAAGUAUGCCACUAGUUUUAUUAGGUGAAAAGGAAACAAUAUUUUUCACACAAUACCAUGGGGAGUAGGAGACUUACAAUCUCACUUAUGAAAAUGACUUACUUUCGGAUUCAGGAUAAAUUUAACGUUAUGUUAAGCAAUCGUAAUUGGACUCAUGUUGAAGUCACAACUAUCUGAGCCCGGUCAAUAAUAAUAUUUAUGUUAAUACAUGCUAGAGAAAUUAUAUGUAAAUCAUUCUCCUAAAGAUAUGCCACACAAAAAAAGGAUGGAUCAAGCACAAAUGUUAAGAGAGUUGUUCAUUACAUCAAUCAAUACUUCAUGAUACUUAGGACAAGCUUAUGCAUCAAUCUAAAGUACCUUAAAUAUUCUAUGAUCAAUUAGGAGGUAGAUUUGAAGUGAUGAAAGUUCAUCAAGUACCAAUUCAUACAUCAUAAACAAGAUGAACACAAACCAUCCAAUUGAUCAAGAGAAAAAAGGAAGCGAAAGAGAUUAAGAAGAAGAAGAAGACGAGAGAAACCAAACUCAAAUUGGAUCAAAGGAUUGAUCAAGUCAUCAUCAAAAUCAAUCAUCCAUCUUGGUAGAUUUGGGUUUUCACCCCAUCAACACCGAAGAUCCAUUGAAUUUGAUGAGAUUUAUGAUCAAAAUAGCCAAGAUCCAAGGUCAACAGAAGUCAACAAAGGUCAAACAAGCAUAAAAUGAAAGAAAAUAAAAUAAAAUGCAUCAAAAAUAUUUUUUAAAUGAAUUUUAAAAGGCAAAUAAAACAAAAAAUUCCAUAAAACCCUUUAAAAUACCAAAUAAAUGGCCAAGAAAAUUAUGGAAGGUUGAAGAUAAAAUAAGGAACAUAAAAUAAAUUUUUCAAAUAUUUUUAAUGCAUAAAAGUAUUUUUAAACUAAUUAAAAAAAGGGGAAAAAGAGGAAAUCCAAGAAAAUAAAAUAUGGAAAAAUAAAAAUCAGAUGAAGAAAAAAAAAAGAAAAUUUUAGAAAAUAUUUUGGGAUUUUUUGGAUAAAAAAUGAAUUUUCUAUAAAUUUUUAAAGAAAAUGCAAUUUAAAAUAAAAAAUAAAAAGAAAUAAAAAACAGAAAAAAAUAGAGGCAUUGGAUCUGACCUCAUUAAUUGACGUGGCAAAUCCAACAACUAUCAGGCUAGGGCGCAUGGUGGAAAAUAGUUAGAAUAAAACAUGGAAUCACAUUCAAAAUGGACCAAUCAAAACAUUUCAAAAUGCCAACGUGGAUAGCCAACUCAGAUGGCCUGAAACAAAUCCAUUCAUCUUCUUCGGUAAUCCCUCAUCGGAGUUUCAUCAUUUGACAAAGUAAGAACAUGAGACUACCACCAAUGUGAUCGUCUCCUCAUCACGAAUUCAACCUAAUGCUCAAAAUUAAUUUAUCUAAAUUGAGUAUGGAGAAUUUCAGAGAAGUUUUAGAAACAAGCAAGUCACAAAAAGUAAAAUUAAAUGAUGAACAUUAUCACUCAACACCAGAUAAGUUAGGGGAAAGCAUAAGAGGGUGAAGGACUACAUUGUGGUAACUCGUUUGAGUUCAAAUGAUGCUCAAAACUACCUUGUCCAAAUGUAGAUCGGAGGUUGAAGAAGCUUGAUCUGGUCAGGGCACUUCAGAAGGUCUUACAGAUUGAGAAUUAUUGCAAAAUCUUCAUAGGAGACUGAAAGUUUUAAUUGAAUCAAGAAAUUGAACUGAAACAAGCUAGAAAUCAAACACGAUAGCUCAAUUUUCUAGAAAUGUUUAAUAGUGGAGCAGGGGUUUUUUAGCUCUCCAAAGCUUGGGAAUAAGGCAAAUAUAUUGCUCUAUUUAUAGGGAAGUGAUUGGUGAUCUCAUACGUGCCAAAUGAUGCUUAAUUCGUGCAAAACAAAUUUGCUCAUGAUGUGAGAAAAGUGUGACUUGUAAAACCAUCAAAACUCAGCCAAAUUAUGCAUUAAAUGAUUCAUUUAACUUUUGAAGACUUGAUUAAUCAUGUUUAGGUCCAAAACGUGUGGUAAAUUGGCUUGUAAUUAAGGAUUAGUGAAGUUCAAAAUUCUGAACAUGGUGAUUUCUUCAGUUCCAAGUUACCAUGUUUAAUUCAAUGGGGCAUCUUGCCUAGGAGGCUUUUUGAUCUCAUUUUUCUUGCAAUUUUUGGACAUCAUAUCAAAGAUUACAAUGUGCCAAGAAAGGUUGCAUUUGGAUGCUUGAGCAGAAGUUUAUGGCAUGUUAAAGUUGGCACAAAAAUUUGGUUAUGCAACUUGGAAAAUUCUAAGUCCCAGAUGGCUAAAAAUGACCCAUAAUGUCUCAAAGAAUUCCAUGGUCUUCCAAGCAUAAUUUGACUUUGAUCCUUGAAGAAAACUUGUAGAGGGCAUCACAAAUGAUAUUAUUCAAAAAGAAUCAGCGUCAAAUGUUGGAAAUUGAAGAAGUUAUAAUCCUUGAAAGUUGAGAAAAAGUCACUUGAAAAUAGGUCAAAUUUCACUAGGUCCACAAAUGACCUAUAAUGUCUUCAAACUUUUGAUGAUCCUCCAUGCAUAAUUGGAUCUUGUAAUGUAAAGAGAAGUUAUAGAGGAUAUUUAGAAGAGUCAUAUGCAAAAAGAAACAUUCAAAAAUAUUGAGGAUUGAAGGAAUUGUGAACCUUGGAACUUUGACUUCAAAUGUUGAAUUUUUGGUCAAACCUCUUGGAAUAAACUUGUGUACUUGGACUUUUAUUGCAUUUCAAGGUACAUGGAUGAUCAUAUGAACUAAAAAUAAGGUGUCCUUAAAUUUAUUUUUAUUAAAUUUCUUAAAGUUUGAGGUAACAUAUUGAAGAAGGCAUGGAAAUAAACACAUGAACCUUUGCCUUUUCUUGAGACCGAUUAUCCACUUUUGUGUAACCGAUUACAAGCGCAAUAUUUUGAUUUUUCCUGCUAUUUUACUUGGUCAAUUCAGUUCCCAAUUGUGUUGUAUCUCUUGUAUAAGUGUUUAGAAUGCACACUCAUCUAAGGUUAAUGCAAUAAUAAUCUCUCACCCUUAAUUCUCCUCUUUCACACUCUACAUCCAAAGUAUCUCCACCAUUGUUCAUCAAACUUGUUGUGUCUUGUUCCAACAUUUGACAUCAAGAGUCUGGUUCAGAUCCACAAACACCUAGUGUGCAACAUGAAUUAUGUUUCCAAUGAAAGAAUCCCUGCAAACCUACAUAUCCUUGAUGCGAAGAAUUAUGAUAAAUGGUGCAAGAAAAUGAAGAUGUUGUUUGGCUACCAAAAUGUUCUUAAAGUAAUCAAGAAUGGUGUUAGCCCUCUUGUUCAAAAUGCAACAGAGGUGCAAAAAGAAACACAUAAGAAAGAGAAGAAGAAAUACUUCAAAGUGUUAUUCUUGAUCCAUCAAUGUGUUGAUGGCGACAAUUUUAAGAAAGUUGGUGAUUGCGAAUCGUCAAAGCAAGUGUGAGAGAUCUUAGAAAAGACAUGUGGAUGGGUUGACAAGGAAAAGGUGGCGAGGUUACAAACUUACAAACACCAGUUUGAAUUGAUUCAAAUGGAGGAAAAGGAGACAAUAAACUAUUUUGCAAUGAGAAUCACCCGGUUGGUGAAUCAAGUGAAGGCAUGCAAAGAAACUGUUACAAAGCAGUAUGUUGUCGCUAAAUCUUGCAUUCUUUAACACUAAGAUUUGACAAUAUAGUUGUGGCGAUUGAGGAGUCAAAGGAUCUCACGAUGAUGAGUAAAGAGAAGCUGCAAAGUUCUCUCGAGGCUCAUGAUAAAAGGAUGGAAGAGAGGAAUAACGUUAAGGCAAAGGCGGAGAUCGCUUUGCAAGCUCGUUUCAAUGAGAAGGACAAGAGAUCGAAAGGAAAAUGGCCCAAGAAAAGAAAAGGGAAUUUUCAUAAUUUUGGUGGAAGAGAGUCCUAAAAUUCAAAUAAUUUUACUUGUCAAAGGGGUGAGAGCAUCUUCAACAAACAUGGUGGUCAAGGCAACUUUAGAGGUAGAAGGAAGAGGUUUGACAAGAGCAAGGAGUAGUGCUAUAAGUAUCAAUGGUUUGGCCAGUUUGCAAAAGAAUGCAAUUUGAACAAGAAGGAAUCUCAAGGGGAUGAAGCCAAGGUUGCAAGAUAAGAGUUUGAUAAAGAGAAUACAUUUUUGGUCAUGAUCAAAGAAGGGAAUUGUAGCAGCAAACAACUGCGGGACAACAACUACAACAACUCAACGAAUGCUGAAUAGGUUGGUUGAAUGAUACGAUUAACCAAUUGCAUGAAGAGGAAGACGCCAUGAUGAGUUUGAAAGGAGUUCAAUGCAGUGAGGAGUGGUAUUUGGACUUGGUUUGUUCAACUCAUAUAACGGGAAUAAAGGAUUGGUGUGCCAAAAUCAAUUGUGCCAUGAAGAACAAAGUAAAGUUCGCGGAUGACACCACUCUAAUAUUCAAUGGGAUCAGUGAUGUUUUAAUCAUGAGAAGGGAUAAUGGACAUUCCUUGACCAUAAAUUCUUGUACAUUUAGGGAAUCAAAUGUAACCUUCUGAGUAUUGGCCAAUUUCUUGAGAAGGGUUAUAAGAUUCACAUGGAAGACAAGGGGUUGCGGGUUAUGGAUGUAAGAUGAGUCUUGGUCCUUAAAGCGCAUAUGGAUGCCAAUAAAACCUUUAAGGUUGAGUUGAAGGUUAUAGAGCAUAAAUAUCUUGCUACUGUAACAAGUAGACAAUAUUGGAUUUGGCACUAUCGUCUUAGGUAUCUCAACUUUAGAGAUUUCAAAGACUUUCAAAAGAACAGAAUGGUAACGGGGCUGCCAUCGAUCAACAUACUAGCUGAAAUUUAUGAAGAAUGUAUGCAAGCGAAGCAACAUAUGGGAAAAUUAAGAAAGUAGAUUCUAUUGGUGGCAAUAUGUAUUUUUUCACAUUUAUCGAUGAUCAUAGUACGAAGCUAUGGACAUACCUAAUCAAGAGAAAUGACGAUGUAUUUGAUGAUUGUUUGUCAUUGCAUAUAUUUAAUCGAAGAAUCAAAGAAAAAUAAGUGAAAUUUGAGAUAAAAUGAAGAAGAAUGAGGAAAAAAUAGCUAAGUGUGAAAAUUGUGGACUUAUUGAAAAUUUGAGUGAAAAGGGGAGCAAAACCGUGCAACCACGGGAAUAAUCACGCGCACCAUCACAUAGCAUCGUGCACGCGAUGGGGUCUUUAAAGCAGCAUUACACGCGCGAUACAAGGAAUCACGCGCGUGAUAAGUACUUUUUAUGGGCUUUUUAGACACGUUCUAGUCCAUUCUAACGCCUUUAAAAGAGGAUUUUCUGCACUUUCACAAGGGUUACAAAAUUGGGAGAUCUAGGCACGAUUUUGAGAGCACAAGUGGUGAUUUUUAUAGCAUUGGAAGCUAUUGGAGGCCAUUACUUCAACGUAUUUCACAUGUUAUUUUCAUCUAUCAAUUAUGGCAUUUUUAAUUGCAUUAUGAGUAGCUAAGCUCUUUUAUAUUAGGUUGUGUUAUGAUGAACCUAUUUCUAUAUUGUUGGAAUCUAUGUUGAUUUAACCAUUCUAAGAACCGUUUGAACUAUAAUUCCAUUCAAUUGCUUUUUGUUCAUAAUUCCUUUUAUGUGAGAUACUCUUUUAAUCUGAUUUUGGGCACAUAGGGAAUAUUGACUAUUAGUCUAUGUGUUGGACCUAGGGAAAUUGUUGUACUUACGCUGGUUGAAUAGGAAUAGGAGACCCUGAGUAGUGGCAUAGAGAAUUAAUGUUUUAUACAUCACCUAACCUUGCUUACGCUGGCAGACUAGGGAUAGAAAGCUCUGAGUAGUGGUUAGUGAGUUAUUUCGCGAGGGAUCAGCUAUAACGGUUUUGUUAAUUCGAUGUGGUGUUAUAGUGAUAAGACCAUUCGUAAAAGAUAUAAAACAUCAACAAUAGAGGAAUAGGGGAUUCUAGAACACAAUAUGCUCGUUUUCGUGAUAUUGUUUAAUUGUUUAUUUACUUUUCGCACUGAAACUCGAAAACCCCCCUUUUUACUAGUUUUCUAUAAAUUGCACACAUUUUGUCUUGCCUGAAGGAAAUUCAUGUGGAUUCGAUCUUUUUAUUACUUCGACAAUAUCAAUACACUUAUCGAGAAAUCAUUAAGUUUUUGGCGUCGUUGCCAGGGACUGUUGAUUUUUCAACAAGGCGAUGUUUGUGCAAUUUUUAUUUUUAUUUUUUUAGUCUUUUAGUUUUUUUUUUCUUUUUCUUGUUUAUCAUAGUGCUAUUGAGGUAUUUUUUGUUUGUGUAUGCACAAUUUAGGAUCAACAUUAAUACCAUUGGUUCUAGAAAUUGAAAGAACUACACGUGCUCUCAGAAAAGCAGUUAGAGAAGCAGCUCUGAAAGGAGGAAUACUAGAAGAAGAGCAACUAUCAAAUUCUUCUGACUCUGAAGAAGAAGCUGUAAUGGAAGCUGCACAACCCCUAACUAUGGGGCAUUAUUAUAAAUUAACCGAUGAAGGACACUUAUCAAGAGGGUUUGUGCUGGUAGACCCUGCUAACUUUGAUAUUAAAAAUUAUGUGCUUUAAGGUUUGAGAGAAAAUUCGUUUGAUGGGAACACGAUUAGAGACCCAUGGGUGCAUCUUACACACUUUUAUGAAAUAACUUAAAUGUGCAAACCAACUGAUGCCACUGAAGAGCAGGUUAAAUUGAGGUUGUUUGGGUUCUCACUAAUUGGAAGGGAGAAAGAUUGGUUACUUUGCCUUCCGAAUAAAACGAUACAUACUUGGAAGGAAUUAAAGGAUAAAUUCCUCGAAAUAUUUUUCAUUACUACUCAGUUUACCGAGCGCUAAGCAGAAAUUGUGAAUUUUGUGCAGCAGGAAACUGAGUCACUUUAUGACUCUUGAGAAAGAUUCAAAUUUUUGUUACGCAGAUGCCUGAAUCACAACAUGAAUAAUAUGGUGCAGAUGUAAAACUUCAUUAAAGGUCUCAAGAGUCAAACUCACAUGUUAUUGGAUGCUUCUACGAGAGGUACUAUCUGAAAAAUGAAUGAACCACGGGUAAAAGAUCUCAUUAAGAAGAUGUGUAUGAAGGAGUACCGAUCCAAGAAUGAAAGGUCGGUCAAGAUGGGAAUUGUGGGCACGCCUAAAGGUAUGUUACCUAUUGAUACCCACACUGCUCUUUUAGCUCAGAUUGAAUUAUUAAAUAAAAAUCUAGUUGGAAGCAGCUUAGUUAAAGCUAAUGUAGGCUAGGUACAAGCACUUGGGUGCGAUUUAUGUAGAAGAGAACAUGCGAAUGAAAGGUGUUCAUUGGAAGAGACAAGUGAGGAGGUCCAAUUUGCUAAUUUUUUAAAAAAUAACUUGUAUUCAAACACAUACAAUCUGGGUUGAAAAGACCAUCCAAAAUUCCGUUGGAAUAAUAAUCAAAAUUCAAAUGCUAACUAAGGGAUGCAACAAAGUCAACAAGCUCUGUUUCAAAGGAAUCCCAUCACAGUUGGUAGAGACCUCACAAAAUUUCAUUAAGGUCACUCAAAGUAGAUUUGAUAGGGUAAAGAAGACCCAUGAAUAAAUGAGUAGAAACUAGGAUGCGUCUAUCAAAAUUUUGGAGAUGAAGAUUGGUUAAUUAUCUAGAAAAGUAGCUACUUUGUCAAGCUCAAGUGGAGGAUUCACCAGUAACACCGUUGAUAACCAUAAGAAUGAUAACCCUAAAUAUAGGUUUAAGGGCAAUUACUGAAAAGGAUAAGGAUGAGAUAGUUAAACAAUGUGUGGUUAAGGCAUAUGAGGGUACCUGUAGCACCUCAAAUUUGCACCCCCCAUUCAUGCAUUCAUUUCAUUUUUUAGGUCAUUUAUCAUUCCAUAUUGCAUUGCAUUUUGGCAGUCAGCAUUGGCAUCAAGAGAUUCAUCAGUACAAAAGAGAAAGUUUUUUCUUGAGAUGAAGGCCAAAUGAUUAUACUAAAGAGCUUAUAUGAGCCCAGGUUCAUUUUGAAGCAAAGUUACCAAGUGGUAGAGGCCCAAACUCAUCAGUGCACUUCCAGGUCAUCUGAGGCCCAUACAAGUCAACUAUGCAGUCAACUAAGGGCUUUGAGUUGGGGAAAUGGUUUGAGACACUUCAUUCAUGUCCAAAAGAGGCUUUUUCAUCAUGUCAAACAUCUACCUUGAAGAUUUUGAAGUCAAAUCAAAAGUUUCCAAAAAUGGAAAGUGACCUGUAAUUCAAAGUUUCCAAAAAUGGCAAGUUUUUAGACCACAUUCAACUUGACUUUCCAACAUCAAAUAAGCUUCAAAUGAAUUUUUGGUCAACAUGAAAGUUGAAGAUAUUUCUCUCCUAUUUCCAAAAAGUCCAAGAGUAUGAGUAUCUGAUGAAUGGUUGAGAAGUUAUGAACAAAUGAUUGCAAAGUAUGCAUGGAACUUCAAAGUGCCAUAACUUUUGAUCCAAAACUCCAAAUUGAGCCACUCUUUUUGCAAAAUGCUUGUAUUGACCAAUAUUUUCCAAAUCAAACAUUGCAUUGCAUGAAAUUAACUCACAUGAUCAUUUGUCCAUGCAUGUAUAUUUUGGAGGGAAAAUGGAUAAUUCAAAUUCUAUUGAUCAUACAUGAAAAAUUCCUAUGCCAUUGUGAUCUUUGGAUGAUUUUAAGUGACUUUUAACCAUGCAUGUGCACUGUUCACGUGUAAAAUCUCCAUGCACCACACAUUUACCAUUUUUGCAUUACACCUCAUUUCUCAUUAAGUUUCCAUUAGCCAAGCCUAAUUGUGAUUAGCAUGAUAAUUAACAUGUGAUAUAAAUAGAUAAUCCUAACUGAAUUGGAUGAGAUUACACAUUCUAGAUCUAGAAAUUGGAUUUCCCUCCAAAAAUUCUCUCAAUUCAAACAUCAAAUUUCUACACAUAACUCAUGAAUUUUCUUGCAUAAUUGUGUUCAUCUUGCAUCAUUGAGUAAGAAUCAAGGCCUGGACUGAAGGAUUUGGUGCAGAGUCGAGCUCCACGAAUGCAUGAAAAUGAAGAAGGUUUUCUGAAUUUGAGCUUCAUUUAGGUAGUUUCAAUUGCUAUUCCUUCCAUAAAGCUUCACCUCAAGGUUGAUAGAGGAGACCUGGAGCUGGAGGAGGCUUGAAUCCACGAAAUCAUCGCACUGUUCUUCAAGAAGGUUAAAAUUUGAAUCUCAUUAUUUGCCAUUUUAUGCACAUGAUCUUGUAGGUCGUGCUCCACUGAUGAUUCUGAUAUGAAUAUUAUUGAUUUUGGCUGGAUAUUGAGUGAGUUAUGAUGAAUUAAAGUUUGUAUGCUAAAUUUGUUCUUGCUCGAUCCAUGAGAUAUGUGAUGAUUUAGAGUGAAUUAGGCAUGGAUUUGGAAUGUACGUUAUGCAAGCUUUCGAUCCAUAUCAUUUUUGCAUGAUUCUAGAAUUUUUUUGAUGCACCUUCAUCGGCGUACCACCGGAGAAGAUGACCGAAAGUACUAUUCCGGUCAUCUGGUUCAUGAGCUAGGGUUUUAAUGUGCGCACCUGUAACCAUGCAAGCCCCAGUUCGAUCCUUGGCAACUGUUAUUUUAAAAUCCAUUUAUUUUCUCCCUAUGAUCCAAACGUUGCGUUUUGCUCUAGCGCCCUUGUGAACAAGCCUUGCCUCUGUUCGAUUCUUGGCCUGGCAAUUAUCCCAAUUGAUUUUAUUGAGCGCGCCUAUGACCCUAUAGUCCUCAGUUCGAUUCAGGCGCUUUGCAUUUUUUCUUUUAUUUUCAAUUGAAGCGCUGCCUUGGACCUUUGUGUCCUGAGUUCAAUCCCUGACCAAGUAUUUUUCAUCUUUUAAUUCACAUUUCAUUUUUUCACAUGAUUGUUGUGAUGUCUAUUAUUUUUUGAUGUGAUUUUCCUAAUUUUUGUAUUUCUGGAAUUUUAAAUGUGUUUGUGUGAUUGAACAUGAUGCAAAUAUGACAUGUUAUGCUAAAUGUUUUAUGAAAUGCUCAUAUUUUAUCCAAUUGCCUUGAAAUUUGACAUGCUUGAUCUAUACAUGUGACAUGAUUUUUGAGCUUUUGUUUGGCAUUUUUAGCACAUUCCAUCACUGUUUGGGACACAUGAACAUAUGAUGUAGCAUUUGGUGUCACAUUCUUGACCUUGCUUGUGUUCAUUUUCAUUUGCAUGUCAUUUGAUAUCUUCUGGACCUAAUUCUUUGCAUGAUGCUUGUGUUUAAAAUUUUGAUCUCACAUAAAAAAUUUCAUGAUCAUUGGAUGCAUUUCUGUUUUAAUGUGGAUUUUCUACCUUUUUCUUGCCUUGUGUAGAUGAUGAAUAAGCACCACUGUUGAUUGACUGUUUGGUUUGUCUGAAUGUGAUAUUGACUGUUUGACUUUUGUACAGGUACAUUAGUCGCUUUUAGCUCUCGCUUGAGCUUUGCUUUGGUUGUGGUUGAUAUACCACCUAGGUAAUCACUCUAACUCCAUGUAGUCUGGAAGCCCUGUCGUUUCUUUUGGCAUGCAUUUGGUUGAAGUCCUCCUUAAGAGGCAAUGACUGUGUUUAUUUAUAUUUAUGCCAAAGACCUCCUUGUCGAGGCAUGUUACUUGUUAAGUCCUCCUAAGUGAAGAGGCAAUUGACAGAUGGAAAGGAUUAGCAAUCAAUCCCCUGUUAUUCGUUGAAUCGUUCAUUAUGCUCGCACUAUAUGCUGAUGCUCUUGAACCUAACCCAAGAUCCUUGUAUAUAGAGUCAGUCAAGUGGAAUAGGGUCCCUCUUUCUGGAUCCCCAGGUUUUCAUUGAUUUGAGCUCACCCAGGCCAGGGUUAAGAGCAUGAGGUCUUAUCCUCAUUACCUUUCAUCAGCUUCACCCUAACUCUCAAUGUUAGUGGUUAAGAGCUUCAGCACACCCCUACAGUUUUGGCUUGUUUGUCGAGGUUGAUAUGACCCCUUGACUAAAGCCUUACCCUCAGAUGUUUGAGCCCCUUGUUGGCGUGUUUACUUCAUGUAUAUGUUUUUGUGUGGUGUGAUUGUAUCCCCAUAGGAUUGCUAGACUUCGUAUAGUCUCUCGUUUGCAUGUCAAUUAAGGUAGCAUGGUUCCUUCGUCUAGGACUUCCUUUCUUGCGUGAGCAUUCCUAAAACACAAACAAACUUUAUCUUCUCUUAAGGACACGUUGACUCCUUCUACUACAGGUGAGUAAGUCUCCAAAGGUCGAGCAUCCAUCUAGGACUUCCUUUCUUGCGUGAGCAUUCCUAAAACACAAACAAACUUUAUCUUCUCUUAAGGACACGUUGACUCCUUCUACUACAGGUGAGUAAGUCUCCAAAGGUCGAGCAUCCGGUAGAUUGCAUAGUAACGUUGUUCACCUAAAAAACACAACAAACAGAAAUAGUUUAGCCGAACUACGACAACUCUGAUUCUCAUGUUCAGAUGAGAUACGUAGGCAUGAGAUGCGAUGUCUUGUCGAGUUUGACUGACGACUAACAUUAAUCCUUGCUAGUUUUCAUCCUCGUUGCGAUUCUUUUCUCUCGCCCUCGUUGCGAUUGAGACCUUCCUUUUCUCUUGCCCUAGUUGCAAUCGAGACCCUUCUUCUUUUCGUGUGUGUUUGUUAGGAGUCGGAUAUAAGUCCAUCUAUUGGCAUUCUGUUUCCUGUUUGCGUGUGUGUUUGUUAGGAGUUGGAUGUAAGUCCAUUUAUUGGCAUUCUGUUUCCUUGUGUGUUUGUUCGGAGUCGGAUGUAAGUCCAUCUAUUGGCACUCUGUUUCCUGUUUGUAUUUCCUUGUUAGGAGUUGGAUGUAAGUCCAUUUAUUGGCAUUCCGUUUCCUUUGAGUGUUCUUUUGACGUCUCAGCGUCUCUUUUCAGUGUUUUGUUUCGGCGUGCGUUAGCCGAGCUACGAGUGCUCUGAUUCUUCCUCUGGUUAGAGAAGAUACGUAUGCAUAGGAUGCGAUGUCCUAGCGAGCACGUCUCCCAUUUCCCCGAACUACGUCGACUCUGAUGUUUGUUUCUGACAAACUACGUAGGCCCAGGAUGCGACAUCCUGCCGAGUCUGCUUUCUCCGUCUCCUCUUCCGCCUGUUUAUUAUUCCAUUGCGUGCAGUCUUUGAGCAGUUUUAUUAGCAACCUUAUUCUUUCCUUCUGAGCGUGGAUCCCAUCGAGUACGACGGACGUGAGGGGUGCUAAUACCUUCCCCUUGCGUAACCGACUCCCGUACCUAGCAAUCUUUGUUCGUAAGACCAUUCCUUUCCCUUUUUCAGGUUUACUUCGAGGGUUUCCUUUCCCUCCUUUGGGAUAAAUAACGCACGGUGGCGGCUCUGUGUCUUUUCCCGCCGGUUGUUUUUCGCGAUGCGACAGUACCAAUCAAGGUGACCAAGAGGAAAGAGGAGUCACCAUUGAUCAACUUAUAGACAAAAAUUCUCCUUGGAGGAGAACAAAGAGGCAUAUCUUGACUGAACCAAAUCCUCCUUUACCAGAUUACGUAAAACCACCGUAGCCGAUAAUUAAAAAGAAAUUGGUUCAAGAUGAUGAAGCGGGAAUGUUUGCAAAGUUCAAGGAAGUUCUAGCUACUCUCCAGGAAAGUAUUUCAUUCCAUGAAAUUUUAGAACUAAUGCCUAAGUUUGUUAAAUUUAUGAAGGCGUUUCUAAAUGGGACGGAAGAGAAAUGAAUCAAGGAACAUGUAAACAUGACCGAAAAUGAUGAUAUGGUAAAACCUCAAUCCUUACAACCUAAACUAAAAGACUCAGGUAAGUUUAUUAUUUCUUGUAAUAUCAGUGGAUUCAAUAUUCUGCAUGCUCUAUGUGAUCUGGGGUUUAACAUAAAUGUCAUGCCACUGAAAACUGUCAAAGAAUUAAAAAUGGGUGAGAUCACACUGAAUAACAUGACUCUCACUCUAGUUGAAUCGUCUAUUACUCAAUCGAUUGUUACUUUACGCAACAUAUUAGUAUCUGUGGACGACUUAUUGUUUCCUAUAGAUGUUGUAGUGCAUGAUACAAAAGGAGAUUAAGGAGGAUCUGUUAUUCUUGGACGUCCAUUCUUGGCAACCGAGAAAGCAAAGAUUGAUGUGGACACUGGUCAACUUAUCUUGAAGUCAAAUAAAAGGAAUGUGGUUUUCAAGGUAUUUGACUGGGCAUCUUAUGUGGAUAAUUUGGAUACUUUAUACCAUCCGGAGGAAAAAGGUAGAAAAGUAGACAAAGGAACAAUGAGAAAGGAAGUGACAGGCGUGAGGGUAUCCCUUGCACCUGACGUACCUUAGACAUGGAUUGUCAAGCUAGUUACGUAAAAAAAGCGUCUGAUGGGAGGCAACCCAUCCGUAAGAAAUUAUUUUUAUGUCAUAGUGAAUUUUUAUUUUUCUAACCUUGUUAAUUUUUGUGUUAUGUUGUUCGAAGAGAAAAUAGGUAAAAGAAGAAAAGAAAGAAAAAGAAAAAGGGAAGAAAAUAGAAAAAGAAAAGAGAUAGGAAAGUUUCAGCCCCUGGAAUCAUCACGCAUGAUAAUAUAAACUAGUUAUUUACAAUAAAUUUUUUUGAUAUUUAUUUAAAGAAGCACAAUUAAUAUAAAGACAAUAACACACCAAUCACACAUAAUAAUUUUAGAAUAAUUAUACUCUAAGAUUUUGAGAGUCGUGAUAUCUCCUCUUCUUAAAUGUUUAAGAAUUGGAUCUCUCUCACUAAUCUCUAUCCCCUUAUUUAUUUUAAGAAUAAACAUAUUGAAUUAAUAAAACAUAAUUGCACAUUUCUUAUAGCGAUUAUACAAACAACUAUCAAAGUUGAAAAAACUAAAGAGAGGUCAACUCAAUCUUUAUCAAAUUAAAUUAAAGUUUAUUUUAAAACACAAACAACUAGUUCAUUAAAAAGAUAACUUGUUUAGUACACAAAUGAGAUCUUACUUAAUACAUAGAAAUAAGAUCUUACAAAACAUAGAUAUUAAAAACAUAGGAACAACAUGAAAAGUUUUCAAAAUGACAUAGACAUUGAUUAACAAAGACAUGAAUUAGUUUCGGGUAUUUUUUAACCAUCCAUCAAGGUAAACUUGUUUGGAGUCAGGGGUGAAUUUUUCUUUCUCGGCUCGGAUAUCUUUCAACCAUCCAUCAAGGUAAACCUGAUUGUUGUCUGAGGUGGAUUUUGUUGUCUCGGCUCGGAUAUCUUUCAACCAUCCAUCAAGGUAAACUUGGUUGGAGUCAGAGGGCAAUUUUAUUUUUUCAGCUCGAGUGUCUUUCAACCAACCAUCAAGAUAAACUUGUUUGGAAUCAGAGGUGGAUUUUGUUUUCUCUGCUCGGGUAUCUUUCAACCAUCCAUCAAGGUAUACUUGGUUGGAGUCAGGGGUGGAUUUUGUUCUCUCAUUUCGAGUAUCUUUCAACCAUCCAUCAAGGUAAACUUGGUUGGAGUCAGACAUGGUUUCUGUUUGCUUAGCUCGAGUAUUUUUUAACCAUCCAUCAAGGUAAACUUGGUUGGAGUCAGGGGUAGAUUUUUCUUUCUCAGCUCGGGUAUCUUUUAACCAUCCAUCAAGGUAAACUUGUUUGGAGUCAGAGGUGGGUUUUGUUUUCUCUGCUCGGGUAUCUUUCAACCAUCCAUCAAGGUAAACUUGAUUGGAGUUAGGCAUGGACUUUUCUUUCUCGGCUCUGGUAUCUUUCAACCAUCCAUCAAGGUAAACUUGGUUGGAUUCAGAGGUGGAUUUUGCUUUCUUUGCUCUGGUAUCUUUCAACCAUCCAUCAAGGUAAACUUGGUUGGAGUUAGGUAUUGACUUUUCUUUCUCAGCUCUGAUAUCUUUCAACCAUCCAUCAAGAUAAACUUGGUUGGUGUCACCUGUAGAUUUUGCUUUCUCAUCUCGAGUAUCUUUCAACCAUCCAUCAAGAUAAACUUGGUUGGAUUCAGAGGUGUCUUUUGCUUUCUUUGCUCUGGUAUCUUUCAACCAUCCAUCAAGAUAAACUUGAUCAGAGUCUUGGGAGGAUUUGGUUUUCUCUGCUCGUGUAUCUUUCAACCAUCCAUCAAGAUAAACUUGGUUAGAAUUAGCAAUUUGUUUUUGACUCUUCAAUGGAUUUUUGAGCCAACCAUCAAGGUAAGGUUGAUCAGCUUGUAUUUCUUCUACAUUCUCUUGCUGAAGUUUGAUAUAUCGGGCAAAGCUUCCUUGUCCAUUCUACGAUACAAUUGAAUAAAUGGAUAUUAGUGAGUUAUUUUUGGAUGGUAUAUAUGACUAUAAAAACAAAAUUAUGUGUUUUAUG
Molecule: long non-coding RNA, 67420 nt
Filed under: Lathyrus oleraceus (garden pea)
Lineage: Eukaryota; Viridiplantae; Streptophyta; Magnoliopsida; Fabales; Fabaceae
Description: Pisum sativum (pea) long non-coding RNA (PSAT_LNC021935)
Source: RNAcentral